RNAcentral lists this long non-coding RNA (69615 nucleotides) under Phaseolus vulgaris (common bean). Its description in RNAcentral is "long non-coding RNA (PVUL_LNC004094)". The record is from RNAcentral. Lineage: Eukaryota; Viridiplantae; Streptophyta; Magnoliopsida; Fabales; Fabaceae.
UAAAUAUAUGGAGCCUUUUUUGCUACGUCUAGAUGUUGAUUUGUUUGCGUUCAUGCCUUUUUAGGUGUUGAUUUGUUUGUUUUCAUUCCUUUUUAGCAUGUGGAGACCUCAAGAACGGUUGAGGAUUAAAAUCUACAAGUGCUUAGAACGACCAAUAAUUCAGGAUAACCUAAUUUCACGAGUUUUCUUUCUAUUUGAUUUUUUGAGAUUUGAUCAUGAAGCAUAAGGAUUGAAUUGUCAUUUGUUUUAUGAUGCCUCUCUUUGUUUUGAAUGUCUUAUUGUCUCUAUACUUCAACAUUAUGAGCCGUUGUAGCCUUCCUGAAUUCUUGGGGUGUACAGUACAUGACAAACAUGCAUCAGAUGUUAGGUAGGACAGAUGUGAGUAUCCUUGAAGCUUGAAUACUGGCAGGAGAUCCUUGAAGCUCUAGGUUUUGGUAUCCACACAUAUUUUUUCUUUAACUGGAACUGGCUCUUUCAAUUUCUCUGGUUUUUUAAUUCCUUCAAUUCAUUAAUUCAUCUUAUGCUUUCUUAAAUUCUUGGUCUUUAUUACCAAUAUCUAUUUGAAUUUAAAUAUAGUUCUUAAAUUUUUUAUGUAUAGGUGUUGAUUCGUUUUUGUUCAUUCCUUUUUAGCAUGUAAGACUGGUUGAGGAUUAAAAUCUGGUAGUGUACACGAAAAACAAGCAACGGAUGUGAGGUAGGAUAUCUAAAUACUGGAAAGAGAUGCUUGAUUCUGUAGGUUAUCCAUACUCUUUGAUGACAGAUGCCUACUUGAGUUUGGAUGUAGUUAUUUAUUUGAUGACAAAGAUCUAUCAUAUGUAACUUUGUGUUAAUUCCUUUUCAGCAGGGGAUUCUGGUUGAGGAUUAAAAAACAUAAAUUUGAAUAUUGUUUUUGUCUGAUUACUGAAAUAUGUCAAAUCUAGCUUUUUGAUCUGUGAAUAUGUUGAUUCUUUUCUAGCAAAUAAUGCUCAGGGAAGAUGUCUCCUCUUUAUUUGAAACUUUGUAGAUUGAGCAUAUUUUUCCAGACUGAUAUGUGAGCUAGGAUGUGGAAACACUUGCCAGGGGAUUUGUGAAGCUUUAGGUUUUGUUACCCUUACAUUUCUUGUGUCUUUAUUUGUGACUGACUAAACUUCUUGUUUGGAUUCUAAGUUUUGGUUGGAUUCAUUGCUAACCUUGUAGUUUGACUGGCAGUCUUGCAGUUCUUGUGGGUUUAGAGGUCGUGUAAUUUGGGGAGGAUUUGUCUGGCAGAAUUUCUAACCACUUAAUAUGAAGUACUGAAUUAAUAAUAGUGAAAAAAAGAUAAAGAAAAUAUAUCAUGGUCAUUAAAAGUUUAUGUUUCUUGUUCUGUUCAGCCAUGCCACUUGUCAGUGAACUCUUGCUUCUUUCUCUAUUGCUGCAUAUGCAUUUGUGACUGACUAAACUUCUUGUUUGGAUUCUAAGUUUUGGUUGGAUUCAUUGCUAACCUUGUAGUUUGACUGGCAGUCUUGCAGUUCUUGUGGGUUUAGAGGUCGUGUAAUUUGGGGAGGAUUUGUCUGGCAGAAUUUCUAACCACUUAAUAUGAAGUACUGAAUUAAUAAUAGUGAAAAAAAGAUAAAGAAAAUAUAUCAUGGUCAUUAAAAGUUUAUGUUUCUUGUUCUGUUCAGCCAUGCCACUUGUCAGUGAACUCUUGCUUCUUUCUCUAUUGCUGCAUAUGCAUUUUUUUCGCAAUUUUUACUCAUUUUUUUUAGGUUGUCCAUUUCUAAGUAAUUUAGGCUUCUCAUAGCUUUUACGAGUCCUGGAUUUAUAGUGAAAUUUGACCCUUUUACAUGGAGCAAUUGAAAUUAAGGAGAGAAUUAUUGAUCUUUAGUUUUAUAGUACUGAAUUAAUUUUGGAUUUGCUUAGGUGUAGCAAAUUUGAAAGGUCAUUUUCUUAGUUAUUACUUCAUUUACUAAAUUAUCAAGAGCAUUGGACAAUUUGAUUUUGUAGUGUUUUGUUUGCUGCAUUGACAAAUGAAUCUUGCAUUCUAUUGUUUUUAGUAGUUUUGGAUUACAUUCUGAAUAUGACAUAUGAUGAUCUCUUCUAUCUUCCAAAAUGUGAAUGAUCUCCAACAUUAGAGUUGUAUUUAGUUCUAUGUCCAAUGUGAGAAUGAGAAAAUUGAGAGCUCUAUUUAGUUUUAUUCCAAUUAUCUCUCUAAUAUGAGAAUGAGAUACAACAGUAGUUGGAAUGUUUUCUUGCAAUCUUCCUGUGCUAUGAUUCAGUUCUCUCUCCAUAUAUAGAAUAAGAAAAUGAGAAAGAGAAACAAGAAUAUUUGUCAUGUUUUGUCGUAAUCUUCUUGCACUAUGAUUCGGUUCUCUCCCAAUAUACCAAUGAGAAAAUGAGAAACAACAAUAUUUGGAAAGUUUUGUCGUAAUCUUCUUGCGCCAUGAUUCGGUUCUAUCCCCAAUAUGCGAACGAGAUGAGAAACAACAGUGUAUGAGAGCUCCAUUUAGUUCUAUCUCCAAUAUGAGAAUUGGAAAACAACAGUACAUGAGAGUUCUAUUUAGUUUUAUCUCUAAUACGAUAAAGAAGAGAAACAAAAGUAUUUGGAUUGUUCUCUUUGUAAUCUUCGUGUGCUAUGAGCAACGCCUACCCUCGAGGCUAUGGUAACGGGUGAUGCCUCUCUAUUCCAACAUGAGAGCUCUAUAUAUUUCUUUCGGGUUGGGGUCUCAAUUUAUGAUACCAUGUGGAAGCAGACACCAUCUUUUUGCCGACUAUAUUUCUUAGUCUUGCUGAUUUUGCCAUGCUGAACUUGGUUUUCUUGAAUUGCCAUGCUUCUUAAACUUUUACAGUAAGGCAAUAGAUAUGUGGGGGCAGGUUUUGGAAACAGUGGAUGGAGAUCUCGUGAAACUUUAGAUUUUAUUAUCUUUGCAUAUUCAUUAUUUUCUUUGAUGGCUAAACUUGUGGAUUGGGAGUUCUUGUAAACAGGCACUACGUGAGUUUGAGAGGCUUUGGCAUUUGUGUUGUUAGGCCUUCGAUCCUGAUGAUUUGAUAAUCUGUUGCAGUGAAGACUUUAUGGAUGUUUGUUACCCAGUUACGGUACAUCAUUGGACUUACAUUUCCAUUUCAUUAUUUUUUUAUAUCCAUGAUUUGGUUGUGGUAUCUCUUAUUGGUUGAAUAGUGGGAAGGCACAUGUGACAGUAGUUGUGUGUGUCUAAGCAAGUGCGAUAGUUGAUUCCGAACAUUAUGAUCAUUGAAGUUACCCUUGACUAGUCUAUGUUAGUUUUUUUUAUAUGAUAUACAAGUACAUCCAUCCUUUGUUAACAACAAUCCUUUUGAAAUAGGAUUUGUUUAAGCGCUAGUUUCGGCACGAAUAUGCAAGUUCAACUUGAAACCAGUUCAUGAUAACCUAAUUUCUUCUGAGGUUCCAGCUUUUAUUAGUUUUCAUUCGGAGUAUGUACAAGUUUGAAAAGGUAUCAUUGUGUUGAUAUAUGCUCGUUUUAGUCUAGCUAUCUUCUCCCUUAAUUGUUACUUUGACAGGGUAGGUGUGAGGUUUUUGGAUUACAAAUUGUACCAACUGUAUGUAAAGUUUGAAAUAUGUGAUGCUUUGUCAAAUGUUUUCUAGGAGUAUACUUGUGAUUUGUUUAUCUGUAGCUGUGUUUGGAUGCUUUGCAUACUACAUCUUAUGGAGUAUGUAUGGUUUUCGCUUGGUGUCCUUCACCUCGUGGAGUAUGUUAUGAGCGACCGUUUGUCCCUUGGUUUUUUAAUUCUUGAAAUUAUCUUAUAGUUCUAUACUUCGUCCUCUAUUACCAGUUAUAGUUUGUUGAAUUCUUGUUCUUUCCAGGGAUGUAAAUAAUGGCAAGAUAUUCCUUGAACGGUGAAGCAUUGGUUUUUUUUUUACUCUUACAUCAAUUUUUUCUUUCUUUUGCAUUAAUUCUUAAGUGGCUAAACUUGUUGGUUGGAUCUUUACUUAAUUUAUAAUGGAGGGCCAUUGAAUGUCCAAUUUUAAUACAUGAUAUGACAAAAGGAUUGAAUUAUGAUAUUGUCUCCUUGAAGCUUGAAUUUAUGAUCGUGUCUCUGUGCGCUGUGAUCUUAGUCACAUUGGUGGUAUAGGCAAAUUGAAAAGAAAGAUCUUGGAGUCAUUCCUUUCAUUUUAGUAGAGAUAAUUACCAAGAGAUCAAGACUAUUUGACUUCAAUUUUUUCGUUACAAAACUUUAUUUUGUCUUUAUUACUUUCCUUCAUUGACAAAUGAAUUUUGAACUUGGGUUCUUGCCUAAUUUGUGUUGCAAGAUUAUUGAUCUUUUGUAUUGGAGUUCCAAAAAUUAUAUAGUCACAAGACUAUAAUUUCAUGAGUCUUGACUUUGCUAUUCUUAUUCGGAGGGUCUGUACUAUGUAUGUUUUGUCUUUUCUGUUUUAAAGUGUUUUUCCUUGUUUUUAUUUGUGUGGUUCAGACUGAAUAAAUGAGAUACCGAUUUUCUUGUUCUCCUCAUGUUACAUCAACCAUUUUAUUGCUACUUUUAUUCAUUUGCAAAGGCUAAGUAUAAUAUUAUUUCUUCAGAUUUCUUUGUACUUGAUAGUAAAUUUUUAGGUGUUGCAUAGCGCUUGAUAUGACUUUCUCUAUUGGAUUUUCAUUCUUGAAUUUAUGAAUUCAUCUUGUCUAGAUUCUAUACUUCUAUUAAGAGGGCCUCGUAUGACUUUCUCUAUUUUAUGGAUUUGGAAGUGUUUUUUAAAUUUAUAAAAUCUAGAACUCUUUUUUGGAUUUGAAAUAAGCCUAUGAAUUAUGUAAUCAUGAUUUAUUCUAGAUUACAUAAUUCGGAAGUCAAUCUCAUAUUUAGAAAAGACUUUUGGAUUAUGUAAUUCUAAAGUUAAUCACACAUCUUAAAAAAAGGUUGUUUUCGGAUUACAUAAUUCGAAAGUUAAUCUUAUGUAUAAAAAAGACUUUCGGAUUAUGUAAUUUGGAGGCUAAUCAUAAAAGGCUUUUGGAUUACAUAAUUUGGAUCUAGAAAAAGACUUUUGGAUUAUGUAAUCUGGAAUAUUAAAAAAUGGUAUUUUGGAAUACAAAAAAUUUAUGGAGUGACACAAGAAGGUACAAAGGUGCAUGAAGAAGCAACCUUUGUAGUUUCUAUAACUUCUAUUAAAAGCAGUGGUAGUUUUCUUUAAUUUUUGGGCUUUACAGCUAACCCGACCAAUGAAACAUUUGAAAGUAUGGACUUGAUCACCCAAUCUAUGGGUUGAAUUGUGAAGGCAAUUUCUUCUUGUACCAUAUCAAUUCUAACCUUCAUCUUAUCAUUUUUCAAAAUUUCUAAAAUUUUCCUUAUACCAGAUUUAAAAAUCUGGAAUAGUAAAAAUAAUUUAAAAAUAAAAAAUAUAUUUUGGAUAAAAAAAAUCUAGAACACAAUUAAAAAUGCAUUUUAGAUAAAAAAAAUUGGAAUUCAAAAAUGUGUUCUGGAAUAUUUCUGGAUAAAAGGUUUUGGAAGUAAUUUUUAUUUACACCCUUCUUUUUUUAAGGUUAUUUUGUCAUUUUGGAAGGCCAUUUUUGUAAUCUUCAAUACCAGGUUGGGUGCAUGUUGGAAUUAAUAUGGUGCACGGAGCAAUUGCCAACUGUGAACUGGUUUCUAUACUAAAAUAUUUGGAAAUGUUUAUGGUAAUCUUUUUGUGUUGUGUUGAGCCUAUGAGCAGCUCCCUUACUUUGUCAUCUCUUUAAGAGAGUUUAGUUUUCUUGAAUCCCAUGGUUCUUGUUGAGAUUUUACGGGAAGGCAAUAGAUAUAUGUGGGCAGGUUUGGAUAACAGUGAAGAAGGAGGUUCAUUAAACUAAUUUAAAUGUUAUCCUGAAAUUUAAUGUUAGGUAAACCAGAAACUAAAUCUUUAGAUUUCAAUUUAUUUACGUGAUUAGUGUGUAUGUGAGCUAACCUCCUGUGCCAUAGCCAAGACUCAUCACUUCUAGACAGUAAACACUCAUUUGAAGAGUCAGUUUCCAUGAUAUUCAAAAGAUAUAUGUUAUUCACUCUCUUACCAGUAAACAGUACCUUACUAAAUGAAUCACUUGAGAUUGUGCAGCUAUUUGACUUAAAAUUCACCUUGUAUCCUUUGUCACAAAGCAAAGUUGACUUAUGCUGAGAAGGCUAUGCUUGAGUCCUUCUACGUAAAGCACAUUCUCAAUAGUGGUUGAGUUCCCUGUUUCAACUGUGCUUCUGCCCAAAAUUCUUCCUCGGUUAUUAUCACCAUAUGUUACAUGUCCUUCUGCUUUGAGCUUCAAGCUAGUGAAUUUUGUAAGAUCUCCAGUCAUAUGCUUGUAACAGCCACUGUCCAAGUACCACUGAUUUUUCUUGCUGCCAAUCUGCAAAACAGAAUAAAAAUGAUACAAAUGGUACCCUUUUUAGUAUAGGGUCCAGCACAUAUUAAAACAUUCUCUUUGGUAGCCAUUUUGCUAAAUUCUUAGGAACAAGAUGCUUUCUAGCAAUGCAAGACCUAGAGAUAUGACCAGAUUUCAUGCAGUAAAAACAGGUUACAUGAGAUGCUUUUUUCCCACUAUUAAAAGUUGAAAAACCUGAUUUUGUUGGAACAAAAAAACUUGAAAGCUUUUUGACACUGGUUACAUUUCCAAUGGUAUAACCAAGUCCAUUUUUAUUGAAAACAACAUUCUUUGAGCCAAGAAGAGACUCAAGUUCCCUUAGUGAAAUUGGAAAGGGUUUUUAGCAAAUACUCCACUUGUUUUUCCAAUUUUUUGCAGUUUUCACAGGUUUUAAUAGAGGCAUGCAAGCAUGUUAGUUCAAGGUUUACCAAAUCUGUUUUGGCCUUAUGCAAUUCUUCCUCAAGUGUUUUUACUUUAGGUGCAAGCACAUUAUUUACCUUUUGCAUCUUAUUGCAUAUUACAGCUAGCCUAUUUGCUUCAUCAUGUGUUUCUUUGAAAGCAACAAGCAAUUGAUCAUAGUUAUCUGAAUCCACAGAAAAAAUCACUUAUUGAAUCAGAUAUUGACUCCUCAUCCUUCAUCAUGAAGCACAAAUUGUUUUCACCAUUCUCAGUUGAAGAGUUGCCGGUUGAAGAUACUUCAUUUUCCUCCCAUGAGAUGUAAGCUCUUCUUUUCGUCUUCAGGAAUUUGCUGAAUCUUUUUGUAAGAAGACUGAUUGUUUCAUCAUCUUCAGCAUCUUCUUUUUCCUCCUUGAUAUCAUUAUGUUCAGUUGCUUUCAAUGUAAGACCUUUCGGUUUUCUCUAUGUUAUUUCCUGCUCUUUGAGUCUCUUGAGCUCUAGCUCAUGCUCCAUUAGCUUUCCAAAGAGUGCAUCUGUUCCUAGCUUUGAUAGAUCACAGUUUUUAGAUAUGGCAGUCACCUUUGGUUGCCAGCUUCUGUCGAGGCACUUCAAUAUUUUUAUGUUGAGUUCCUCUCUGUCAAAUUCAUUUCCCAAACCAGUAAGGUGAUUCACAAUACGAGUGAACCUUUUCUGCACAUUAGCAAUGCUCUCCUCGGGUUGCAUUUUAAACAAUUCAUAUUCUUGGAUGAGAGCAUGUUUUCUUGACCUCUUCACAUCUUCAGUACUCUCAUGAGUGACUUCUAAGACUUCCCACAUCUCCUUAGCUGACUUACAUUGGGAUAUCGUAAAGAACUCAUCCAUUGUUAAUGCAGAGGUUAUGAUGUUCUUGGCCACAAGAUCAUGUUGAGCCUUCCUCCUUUCGGUCUCAUUCCAUUCAAAUCUUGGCUUUACCACUUCUUCAUCCUUGACAACCUACAUUGGCACAUAGGGUCCAUGAACCACAACUUUCCAGAUUAAUGCAUCAAUAGAUUCCAUGAAAAUUCGCAUUCUAAUCUUCCAAAAUGCAUAAUUCAUUCCAUUGAACAUAGGUGGUCUAUUAACGGCAGAUCCCUCAGCAAAAAGCACUUUAAACUCAUACAUUAUUACAAACAAACUUGAUUAAAAUACAAGUCCUAGCUCUUGAUACCAAUUGUUGGGAUUAAUAGUGUCAAAGUUCAAGAGGGGGUGAAUUGAUCUUUUAAAAGUUUCUCGCAGAACCAAUAUUUUUCACAGAGUACAAAAAAUAAAUCGAUUUAUUUGAAAUUGAACAAAUUUAUUUUAGCACUAUUUGUGUUUGAAAAACGUUUAGACAGUCAGGUUAAUUACAAGAUUAUGCAGAUCGAUUUUCCAGAUACACACACUGAUAUAAUGAAGAAAAACUAUUCAUUUACAGAUGAACAGAUUUAUUUUUCAAAACGAAAACAGAAAAAGCUUAACUAUUUAAAACUCAGUCGUUUUGAAAGGUAGAAGACUUAGUCAAAAUGCUUGAUGCACAAAAUCUAAUUUUCACAAGACUUAGCCAAUGUAUCAGUUUAAAAAAGAAUCUGUUUAUUUAGAAAAGAACAGAUUUAUUUUUAUGCAGUAAACGUGUUUUUUGUAAAAUAUGUGAAAAACAGUUUAAGAAACCUUAUACUUGUUCUUAUCACAUGGUCAAUGGUUAGGAGGUGAGUUACUCAGCAAAAAGCCUACUCUUAAACAACCUCUAAACACUACCUAAGACAUUCUUAAAACAAAUGUAAAUAUACAUGAAUUGUACACAAAAGUCUUCAUCAAACACAUGUCUUGAAGGGGCAGCAACCAUCUUCAACAAUCUCCCCCUGUUUGAUGGAGACAAAUCCCCAUAGCUCUGUCGCUUUAAGAACCUGUACUGCACCGAAUACUAAACCAGAAAAACAGAACAUUGCAUAACAUGUGAAAUGGUUUUAAGGUGCAAAAUUUAACUUCCUGUUUCAGCUAGCUUCACCUAGCAUGGUGAGCUAUUUUUCCCCCCCUUUGGAUUCAUCAAACAGCAUGUAAGCAUAGGAAAAAAAAAACAAAAACAUAACCAUAAUAGUCCAAAAGAUAAAGACACAUUGUUCAACAUUACAGAAUUUUAAAACUGAUAAAGAAAGCAUGAAAAUACUUCUAAUCCUUGUAGUAUAGCUCUGCAAGUUGUACUUGAACUCCUUCAAUUUGAUCAUCAAGGUGUUGAAACCUUGCUUGAGUGGUCUCAAAAUAUGCCCUUUGUUCUGCUGUCAUGACAUCAAGGCAAUGCAAAACUUGCCUUUCAAACAUGGACAAUGGUUCACCAUGGUAUUCUGGAGUUUGAUAGGCCACAAUGACAUUCAGAUGAGUGGCAACAGCUUCUUCAUGCAUUGAUUGGGGAGCAGGUGAGUCUCCUCUGAGUUCUACAGAUGGAGAGCUUGUCCUUUGAUUUCCAGCAUGUUCAACAGAUUGCUCUUGACCAUAGGAGUGAUGGAUAACAUAACAUGAAUGUUCUGCAGCUUGAACUGUGUCAUCCUCCAUGGGAACAACUUCAUCCUCAUCUUCAUUGUUGAGGUUUGAGGCUCCAUGUUCUGCUUGAGGGUUCUUGCCUUUGAGAACCACCCAAUUGUCCUCUACUUUGUGAAAUCCCAUCUUUGUGAGAGUUGAAUUGUCAAUCUCACUUACAGCCUUGAUGGGGUCGUUUCUCUCAUUUAUAGCAUCAACACCAAAGAAAUCAAUCAAUUUUGAAACAAAAAUAGCAUAAGGAAAGCAAUAAUCAGCCAACCUUUUGGAUUUCAGCAUGUGUUCAUUUAUAAUGAAAACCCAGUUUACCUUAAUCUAGUUCAUGAUGCAAUAUAGAAGGAUUAAAUCUUCUUCAUGUAAAACAACAUGAUUUGUACCACUUGGGAUGAGUUGCCAUGCUAUAAUGUAGGUAACAAGACGUGGUGUAAGGUUCAAAUGACUUGCAUGGAACCUGUUUAUGCUCUGUGUAGGGUUCCUCAUACAGCUCUUAUAAUAUUGCAGUUUGUUGAAUUCUUGAAUCCCACUGGUGUUUCCUUUUCCAACUUUUAGUCCAGCAUACUUGAUUCCAGCCAUUGAAUUCCAAACAUCACUUGUGAUCUUCAUUUUGAUCCUUUUUCACAUAAGAGACAAUGUUCUUUCCAUCCAAUGUUAGGUUAGUGUAAAACACCUUAACCAAAUCAAGAUAUACAUUACCCGUUAAUUCCAGCAGCUUUUUCAGUUUCUGGUGCUUCAACACAGCCCUUGUUUCUGCCAAUUUUUUUGAUUUUAGCCAGUUGAAAUCUAGCACCUUAGGUAUGUUAAUCUGCUUUCUACAUGUCUCGUGCAUGUAGGCAUUGAUACCUUCUUCAUUUCCAGCGAACCAACCUUCUAGCACACCUUGAAAGGUGGUUUGCUUGCCAUUAUUUUUCUGUUUCUGUCUUGAAGAAGAAGCCAUGGUUGAACCAGAAUUUUCUCUUGGUUUCAAAUGGUGAAAACGGAAAAUAGGUAGCCAAUGUGGGUAGCAAAUAUUCGCACAGAUUUAUAUUGAGAAAUGAAUAGGUUGAUAUGACAGUUAUGAGUGGAUAUGCAUGAAGAUUUUAUGCUCUGAAUUUGUGCAGAGAAUAUAUGCAACAAAUAUUUAGGGUCACGAUGCAUACAACUCAUACCUUCAUUGAGCACCCAAACCAUCAAAUCGGUUACAUAACCAUGACCAAAACCGUCAAAGGUACAAAGGUUAAUGCCCACUAAGUCAGUCAAUCAGUCAAAGAUCAGAAUUUCUCUUUCCUAGUCAUCAAUGCAUAUCAGUACAAAAAUAAACACAUUUAAUUACGAAUAAACAUAUUUAAUUUUUCACUGCUAGGCACAAUUGACAUUUAUAAUACCCAAUUCAUUAAGCAGAAAAUUAAACCUAUCCUUAGCCAAUGGUUUUGUGAACAAAUCAGCAAGUUGUAAAUCUGUACCAAUGAAUUUAAUCUCACAUGUUCCAUUUGAAAUGUGUUCCCUUAGAAAAUGAUGCCUAAUUUCAAUGUGUUUGGUUCUUGAAUGCAUGACAGGAUUUUUGGUUAAGUUGAUUGCACUUGUAUUAUCACACAACAGAGGUAUAUGGUUAAGUAAGAUACCAAAAUCAUUUAAUUGUUGUCUUAGCCAUAUGGUUUGAGCACAGCAACUCCCUGUUGCAAUGUAUUCCGCUUCAGUCGUGGAGAGAGCUACACAAGCCUGCUUUUUGCAUUGCCAUGAGAUCAAGUUUGAUCCAAGCAAGUGACAGGUUCCACUGGUGCUCUUCCUAUCAAUUUUGCAACCUGCAAAGUCUGAAUCCGAAUAUCCAGUUAAGCUUAAUGAAAUGUUACUUGGAUACCACAAGCCAACUUCUUUAGUUCCUUGCAAAUACUUCAAAAUCCUUUUGGCAGCAUUGUAGUGUGAUUCUUUAGGAGCAGAUUGAAAUCGAGCACACAUGCACACUGCAAACAUUAUGUCAGGCCUGCUGGCAGUGAGAUACAGUAGUGAUCCUAUGAGUCCUCUGUAUUUGGUUUCAUCAACAGAAAUUCAAGCUUCAUCAUGAUCCAAGUGACAACUUGUUGAGAAGGGUGUGCUGAUUGGUUUACACUUGUCCAUUUCAAAUUUCUUCAGCAGAUCCUUGCAGUACUUAGCUUGACUUAAGAAAAUGCCAUCCUUGAGUUGUUUGACCUGCAAGCCUAGAAAAUAGUUCAACUCACCCAUCAUUGACAUUUCAAACUCACUCUUCAUGACUUUCACGAAAGCUUCACACAAUUCUCCAUUGUUUGAUCCAAAAAUGAUGUCAUCCACAUAUACUUGUACUAGGAUUAUGUCAUCUCCUUUCUUCUUAAUGAACAAGGUCUUAUCUGAUGUGCCUCUAUCAUAGCCUUGAGAGGUGAGAAAAUCACUUAGCCUCUCAUNNNNNNNNNNNNNNNNNNNNNNNNNNNNNNNNNNNNNNNNNNNNNNNNNNNNNNNNNNNNNNNNNNNNNNNNNNNNNNNNNNNNNNNNNNNNNNNNNNNNNNNNNNNNNNNNNNNNNNNNNNNNNNNNNNNNNNNNNNNNNNNNNNNNNNNNNNNNNNNNNNNNNNNNNNNNNNNNNNNNNNNNNNNNNNNNNNNNNNNNNNNNNNNNNNNNNNNNNNNNNNNNNNNNNNNNNNNNNNNNNNNNNNNNNNNNNNNNNNNNNNNNNNNNNNNNNNNNNNNNNNNNNNNNNNNNNNNNNNNNNNNNNNNNNNNNNNNNNNNNNNNNNNNNNNNNNNNNNNNNNNNNNNNNNNNNNNNNNNNNNNNNNNNNNNNNNNNNNNNNNNNNNNNNNNNNNNNNNNNNNNNNNNNNNNNNNNNNNNNNNNNNNNNNNNNNNNNNNNNNNNNNNNNNNNNNNNNNNNNNNNNNNNNNNNNNNNNNNNNNNNNNNNNNNNNNNNNNNNNNNNNNNNNNNNNNNNNNNNNNNNNNNNNNNNNNNNNNNNNNNNNNNNNNNNNNNNNNNNNNNNNNNNNNNNNNNNNNNNNNNNNNNNNNNNNNNNNNNNNNNNNNNNNNNNNNNNNNNNNNNNNNNNNNNNNNNNNNNNNNNNNNNNNNNNNNNNNNNNNNNCAAUUCAUUUUGAUUUAAAACAGAUUUAAAUUCAUUACUGUCAAGAUCAUCAGCAGCAGUUUUAGAUAUGUUAUGAUCAGUUUCAUAAAAAACAACAUGCAUUGAUUCUUCUACUAUGAACAAUCUUUUAUUGAAGACUCUAUAUGCAUGAUCAUUCAAAGCAUAACCAAUGUGCACACCUUCAUCAGAUUUAGCAUCAAACUUACCAAGAUUUUCUUUGCCAUUAUUCAAUACAAAGCAUUUACACCCAAAAACUCUAAGGUGGCUCACACUAGGUUUUCUGCCCUUAUACAAUUCAUAUGGGGUUUUCUUAAGAAUAAGUCUUAUUAAGGUUCUAUUCAACACAUAAGUUGCAGUAUAUACUGCAUCUGCCCAAAAAUACUUAGGGAGCUUAGAUUCAUUUAACAUGGUUUUAGCUAGUUCCUCUAAUGAUCUGUUUUUCUUUUCAACUACACCNNNNNNNNNNNNNNNNNNNNNNNNNNNNNNNNNNNNNNNNNNNNNNNNNNNNNNNNNNNNNNNNNNNNNNNNNNNNNNNNNNNNNNNNNNNNNNNNNNNNAUUUGUUUACCUUUCACACAAGCAUCACAGAGCCUGUUAUCCUUAAAUUUAAUGUUAGGUAAACCAGAAACUAAAUCUUUAGAUUUCAAUUUAUUUAAGUGAUUAGUGUGUAUGUGAGCUAACCUCCUGUGCCACAACCAAGACUCAUCACUUCUAGACAGUAAACACUCAUUUGAAGAGUCAGUUUCCAUGAUAUUCAAAAUAUAUAUGUUAUUCACUCUCUUACCAGUAAACAGUACCUUACUAGAUGAAUCACUUGAGAUUGUGCAACCAUUUGACUUAAAAUUCACCUUGUAUCCUUUGUCACAAAGCUGACUUAUGCUGAGAAGGCUAUGCUUGAGUCCUUCUACAUAAAACACAUUCUCAAUAGUGGUUGAGUUCCCUGUUCCAACAGUGCCUUUACCCAAAAUUCUUCCUCGGUUAUUAUCACCAUAGGUUACAUGUCCUUCUGCUUUGAGCUUCAAGCUAGUGAAUUUUGUAAGAUCUCCAGUCAUAUGAUUGGAACAGCCACUGUUCAAGUACCACUGAUUUUUCUUGCUGCCAAUCUGCAAAACAAAAUAAAAAUGAUACAAAUGGUACCCUUUUCAGUAUAGGGUCCAGCACAGAUUAAAACAUUCUCUUUAGUAGCCAUUUUGCUAAAUUCUUAGGAACAAGAUGUUUUCUAGCAAUGCAAGACCUAGAGAUAUGACCAGAUUUCAUGCAGUAAAAACAGGUUACAUGAGAUGCUUUUUUGCCACUGUUAAAAGUUGAAAAACCUGAUUUUGCUGGAACAAAAAAACUUGAAAGCUUUUUGACAUUGGUUACAUUUCCAGGGGUAUAACCAAGUCCAUUUUUAUUGAAAACAGCAUUUUGUGAGCCAAUAAGAGACUCAAGUUCCCUUGGUGAAAUUGGAAAGGGUUUUUAGCAAAUACUCCACUUGUUUUUCCAACUUUUUGCAAUUUUCACAGGUUUUAAUAGAGGCAUGCAAGCAUGUUAGUUCAAGGCUUACCAAAUCUGUUUUGGCCUUAUGCAAUUCUUCCUCAAGUGUUUUUACUUUAGGUGCAAGCACAUUAUUUACCUUUUGCAGCUUAUUGCAUAUUACAGCUAACCUAUUUGCUUCAUCAUGUGUUUCCUUGAAAGCAGCAAACAAUUUAUCAUAGUUAUCUGAAUCCACAGAAAAAUCACUUACUGAAUAUUGACUCCUCAUCCUUUAUCAUGAAGCACAGAUUGUUUUCCUCAUUCUCAGUUGAAGAGCUGUUGGUUGAAGAUACUUCAUUUUCCUCCCAUGAGAUGUAAGCUCUUCUUUCCUUGCUCCUUUCCACUCUCUUGCUGGCAGAUUUAUCCUUUGAUUGAUUGUUUGGACAAUUCAUUUUGAUGUGCCAUGUUUUGCCACAGCCAAAGCAAGUAUAGUUAGAGGAAUUUAAAUAAUUAGGUUUUGGAUACAUUCUUUUCUGCUGGUUCCUAUUUCUGCUUUUCUUCUUCAAGAAUUUGCUGAAUCUUUUUGUAAGAAGACUGAUUGUUUCAUCAUCUUCGGCAUCUUCUUUUUCCUCCUUGAUCUCAUUCUGUUCAGUUGCUUUCAGUGCAAGACCUUUGGGUUUUCUCUCUGUUCUAGCUCAUGCUCCAUUAGCUUUCCAAAGAGAGCAGCAGUUCCUAGCUUUAACAGAUCAUGACUUUCAGAUAUGGCAGUCACCUUUGGUUGCCAGUUUCUGUUGAGGCACUUUAAUAUCUUUAUGUUGAGUUCCUCUCUGUCAAAUUCUUUUCCCAAACCAGUAAGGUGAUUCACAAUACGAGUGAACCUUUUCUGCACAUUAGCAAUGCUCUCCUCGAGUUGCAUUUUAAACAAUUCAUAUUCUUGGAUGAGAGCAUGUUUUCUUGACCUCUUCACAUCUUCAGUACCCUCAUGAGUGACUUCUAAGACUUCCCACAUCUCCUUAGCUGACUUACAUUGGGAUAUCCUGAAGAACUCAUCCAUUGUUAAUGCAGAGGUUAUGAUGUUCUUGGCCACAAGAUCAUGUUGAGUCUUCCUCCUUUUGGUCUCAUUCUAUUCAGAUCUUGGUACACUUGCUGAAAAACCCUAAACCUUUGUGAUUUUCGAAAUCUUUUAAGAACAGAUGUUAAUUCCUUGUAAAUCCUCAAUUCUCUAAUGCAAAACUUGUUUUUACAAUUGUAUGAUCGAUUGUUAAACUCAUAAACAAGUUUUCAUUUUAUAGAAAACCAACUUAUAACAAAUUUUUGAAAAACAGUUAAAGCUGUUAUAAAAUGAACAAAUUGAAAAUAAAAUGAACAGAUUUAUUUUCAGAAAGCUGUUAGAGAAUUUGUUAUGAGAGGAGACUUAGUCAACCAUUCUGGUGCAGGGACAAAACUGAAAACCGUUUAAGAUAGCCAUGGCACCAGAGUCAAAAAGAAUCUAUUCAUUUACAGAUGAACAGAUUUAUUUUUCAAAACGAAAACAGAAAAAGCUUAACUAUUUAAAACUCAAUCGUUUUGAAAGGUAGAAGACUUAGUCAAAAUGCUUGAUGCACAAAAUCUAAUUUUCACAAGACUUAGCCGAGGCAUCAGUUUAAAAAAGAAUUUGUUUAUUUAGAAAAGAACAUAUUUAUUUUUAUGUAGUAAACGUGUUUUUUGUAAAAUAUGUGAAAAAAAAUUUAAGAAACCUUAUGCUUGUUCUUAUCACAUGGCCAGUGGUUAGGAGGUGAGUUACUCAGCAAAAAAACCUACUCUUAAACAACCUCUAAACACGACCUAAGACAUUCUUAAAGCAAAUUUAAAUAUACAUGAAUUGUACACAAAAGUCUUCAUCAAACACAUGUCUUAAAGGGGCAACAACCAUCUUCAACAAUAUAUAGUCCCAACAAGAUGAUGUUUGAAUGUGAAAAAUGUCUCCAUUAAAUGUUUAUGAAUAGUAAUUAUAUUUCACUUUUUUAUUGUUAUCCAAAACAUAUCUUUGCUGUUUCUAUCCAAUAUCAAUUCUAUUUCACGCAACAUCCUUAUUUCUAGGUGGAAGUGUUAAAAGAUGUACUGACACACAAUUGCAACCAUUUCCCAACAUCAAUAAACAGUCAAUAAAAAAAUAAUUAUUUUAACUUUAUUUUUCAACCAUAUUAAAAAAAACAAUCACUUUAUUCACGAAAUUCUCCUGUGAAACUUCUAGAUUGCUUUUUUAAUUUAUGCAUGAAACUUCAUCCCGAAACCACACAUGUCAUUACCAUUUCUUGUUCUCCAUUCAUCAUUCGCCCCAAACAAAAUUGUGAAUCCAAACCUAACUCCAAAUUCUCCAUUCAUCCUUACCUCCCAACAAAAUUUUUGAAACCUAGCUAUGACACAAAACCAGAGUAUCUAAUUGGAAACGAACCUAGAAUAUGACCACAGUGUCAGGCGAGGCAACUCGACGCAAAAUGACAACAAGGCGACUAUUCCAUAACAGUGAGAAACGACAAGGCAAUAGUGAGCGAUGGCGAGAGAGACAAUGAAGCCUUAAGUGAAACACGAAUAAAAAUUGGUACAAAACAAAAUAAAUUUGAAAUUUAACUUGAGACUCGCUAGUUUGACUGGUUCUACCAAUUUUGGCUCGAGUUUGCUGAAAAAUGAGUUUGUUCAUGAGUUGACUUGUGACCCAAAAGUAGAUUUUUAAACUUGGACAAGUUAGCAAGUUGAGUCACGAGUUUGAUAAUCAUGUACUUGUAUUGUUUUCUUACGCUAUGAGUCUUUUACAAGAUUCACCUUUUUUGGAUGACACAUUAACUUUAAAUACAAUCCUUUUAAGGUCAUUACAAUGUUGAACAUGUGAAACUGAGAAACAUAAAGGGAAUCCCUCUAGAUCUUCAAGGCAGUACCAUUACCACCAUCAUUAUGUCACAAGUUGAGCAAUUCAUCUAUUGGAUUUUUAGAUUCUUAUAAAUAUUGUUCAUCAUUCUCUAUCCAAGUCUCUAAUUUACCUUUUAGUUUUAUGACUCAACAUGAGUCAUUUUAUGAGUCAUUUUAUUGACACUAGUCUCAUUUAGGCACCAAGUCAAAUUUUUACUUCUAUGUGGGAAGAUGACUCUAACGUUUUCUCAAAGAAUGUAUAUAAAUCUUUACAUUGAUGAUAUGUUGCUUAUCUACUUUCACAAUUGAUUAGAACCAGAUCAUGAGACAACUAUAACCUAUAACUCACUCCACACUUGUUAAGCAACUAUUUAUUCCAUAUUCUUCUAAUUUGAUAAUAUCACUUUUUAUUCAUCACAAACUAAAAGCAUUGUAAUUGACGUAGAGUCGAUUCAUCCAAUAGAUUAUACUUGGACCCUUUAAGGUAGAUAUCUCAAAUUCACUUAAAAAUGUUACACCAAAAUAAAUGUUAUUGUAAGAGUAUUAACCUAAAAGACAACUUCAAAAUCUACAAACAAACAUAUUACACUAACAUAUGUUCAAUAUCAAAUUACACACUAUAUAAAAAUAAUCAUGUAUAUAUUUAAAUGUAACUAACUUUUAGAAUUAACAAACUUUUAGAAUUAAGAUAAAAAAUUAUCUUGAUGUAAUAAUGAAUGUGCACCUUGACCACUUUCUCAAUUUUUUCUUUUUCAAUAAUUUUAUCUUCAUUCAUUAUAAUAUAAACAAAAUCUCAAAAAUUAUUUUUAAACUUUCAACUAAAAACUUUUAGUUAUAUUUAAAGUAGACAUAAACAAAUAUAUGCACAUGCAAAAAUAAUCUACUACUAGGGAUGACAAAGCAAGGCGGAUCAACCCGUUAAGAAAUAACACAGUGCAGAAGUACCGUUCAAAUAUCUGGGUCUGGAGGUGGGAGGGAACCCAAGAAAGAAGCAAUUCUGAGAACCAGUUAUAAGUAAGUUGAAAGCAAAACUCAGUGUUUGGAAGCGGAGAUUUUUAUCCAUGGCAGGGAGGAUAUGCUUAAUUAAUUCUGUUCUAACCGCAAUUCCUUUGUUUUACCUCUCUCUUUUCAGAGUACCAGCUUCGGUGUGUAAAAGGAUUAUUAGUAUUCAAAGAAGAUUUUUGUGGGGCUGGGGGAAACUAACCAAGCCAAUUGCUUGGGUUAGCUGGAAUGAUGUUUGUAGACCAAAAGAGGAGGGAGGGUUGGGGUGUAGGGAUAUACGCCUGUUUAAUCAAGCUCUACUAGCCAAGUGGAGAUGACAAUGUCUUUCGGAGGAGAAUGGAAGAUGGAAGAUGUUGUUGGAUUCUAAAUACAACCUGGGGGAUGAAAACAGUCAAACACCUGUCAAAUAUCAAUCUUGGUGGUGGAAAGACUAAAGUGUGCAAGGUUGGUGGAGGAAGAUGGUGGUUUCAGGAAGAGCUAGGUUGGGAAGUAGGUUGUGGUGAUAAAGCAAAGUUCUGGGAGGAUGUAUGAAUUGGUAGUGUCGAUCUUUAGUCCUUGUUCCCGCGCUUAUACUCUUUAUCUUUAAACCAAGGUAAAGCAGUGGGGGAGAUGGGUGUAUGGGAUGAUACGGAGUGGAGGUGGGACUUGAGGUGGAGGCGUGACAGAUUUGUAUGGGAAUCUUCUCUGGAGAGGGACCUUACUAUGCUUCUAUCAAGGGUCAUUAUGAGAAAGAAUGUCCAGGAUAUCCAGGUUUGGGGGAAGGAGAUACUGGGGCUGUUUUCGGUGAGCUUGGCGUAUGAGUGUCUAUCUAAGCAUGGUAGAGGGAACAAUGACGAAGUGUUUAAGCUCCUGUGGAAGGUGAAGGCCUUUCCAAAUGUUUUGGUAACAACCUGGAGGGUGUUUAAGGGGAGAAUCCCCACUAGAGUGAGUUUGAGCCAGAGAGGGAUGAUGUUGAACUCAACAGUGUGUCCCUUGUGUUUGCUACAAGAAGAGACCUGUCAACAUCUUUUCAUGGAUUGUAAAUAUGCUCAACAAGUAUGGUCCCAAUGCCUUCAGUGGGUAGGCAUUUCCUUUGUUGAGCAUCAUGAUCUUAAGCGGCAUUUCCUAAGUUUCCACUUGUUUUAAGAUAGUAACAAGCAGAAUAAGAUCUGCAAAGGGGUAUGGGUAUUGUUAUUAGAAGUAUAUGGGACCAAAGGAAUUUGAUUACCUUUCAGCAAGGGGUAGUAGAUGCAGAGGAGAUAUUCUAGAGGGCCCAACUUAAGUCUUGGUUGUGGCUGAAGCAUAAAGCCCGUUCGUUUUCUUACUCUUUUACAGAUUGGGUUUUUAACCCAAUUAUCUGCAUUAAAAGCUGCUAAUGUUUCCUGGUUUUGUGUCUUCUGAAGAAGCUGGUAUUUCUGGUUGGUAUCAUGUGAAGGUUAUGGUUCGGAUGGAACCUGUGAUGGUGAAGGAGUGAAUCCCUUAGGGGUUAGCUGUUGUUACCUGUAUUGGGGUUGGUCUUCAAGCAUUUUUUGCAGGAACACGAAGCAUCUUCAUAAAGGAGUCAUAACACGGGAACAACUGUUUUGUUGUGGCAGGGUGGUCUUCUGCAGUUUCUGGAGUCACGGGGCGUGCUUAGAUCAAGGUUGGAUGCUUUGGAGGGGAGCUGAGGUUGGGUUUGAGCCACGCAUUUCAGGGGGGUAGAGAUAGCUUGGUUGAGGAAUGUGAAGUUGUGGUAAUGACUAACCAAGGCGUUAAGCCGGGUUACGUGUAAAGGUGGACUGGUGGCUGGUUGGCUGGUUGGACUGCUAUAAUACGUAUGUGUAGGGGAGGGUCGGUGAAGGAAUGAAGGUUUCAAGUGGAGAGGGUGUGAUUAGAAGGGUGCCGGUUGGGGAGCAGCUUGGAAAACUGGUGAAGAAUAGGAUUUUGUAGGUGUUGUUGUGCUGUUCUUUGGAGUGCAGUUGGGUUUUGGGUGCUGCUAUUUUUAUUGUUACUAUCAUUUUGGUUCUUUCAUAAGUGUUGGUUUGGGUUUGGCAUUCCCUUUUGUAGGUUUAGGCUUUUUGGUUAUACUUUCUUUUGUGGAAGUGUAACUUUGUGGUUGUAGUAUACGGGUUGGGAUACCCCUUAAGUAUCCCCCUUAAUUUUAUUCAUUUAUUGCUGAUAAAAAAAAAACAAUGCAGGCAUCAUAUUUCAACUUGUUGACUUGCUUAGGUUCACCUCGCAUAACUCGCAGUCCACACGGGCCAACGGGAUAGGCUGACUCAUAACCCACAUAUUCUAAAAAAUUAUAGACUUAUUCAUUCUAAAAUUUAUAAUCUGUAAUACAAAAUUGUAUUAUAAACUGUACAAUCUAGACUAUUGUACAAUCUAUAACUAUAUAUAGCUGCAAGAAGAAACUUUCCUCAAUCCCUAGUUCAUAACACCUUCAUGAAAUUUUAUAAUAGUUUUUUUUUUCCUUUUUAAAAUGCAUAAAUUGUCUAGGUUUCAAUAUUCAAAUGUUAAAUGCACUAGUCAAACUUUAGCCUUUUUAUAAUAAAAUUUAAAUAUAAUAAUAAUAUUAUAUAUAUAUAUAUAUUUUAAAUUAGAAUAGUAAUCAUGUGUCUACCUGUAUUAUCUUUGAAACGUAUAUAUUUAAAAAAAUAUUUAUUAGUCAAUUUAUUAGUAUGAUCAAAAUUCAAACUUCAUUGAAAAUCAAAAUAUUAUUAUAAUUUUUUUAUCCAUAUUUUAUUACAUGUGUCGUGAGAAUAAUACUAUGAAACUAUUAUUACCUAAUUCAUUUAAAUAAGAAAAAAAAAUUAAUAAACAAAACAAAAGUUUAUUAAAAAAUUAUAUUUAAUUUUUUUUCAUUAAUUAAAAAAAAAAUCUUAUGUGGAUCGGCUCGUGGGUUAGCUAGCAUGCGAGGCGGGCCAAUAAAAGCAACUAAUAUAUUUUACACAGGACGAACCAACUUGGCCUGUAUUUUAUGGGCCAAAUGCAAGGCGGACGGACCUGCAUUACCAUUCAUACCCACUACCUUCAGGUUAUCCUAAGGACGAACAACUCUAAUACCAUAAAUGUAACACCCCCAAAUUUAUUGUACACUUAUUACAAAGUUUAUUGUAAUAUAAUUUCAUUAUUAAAAAACUAUAUAAAUCAUACAUGAAUUUAUACAUUAAGGAUAUUUAAUCCAUUUCUGCUCAAGCUAAAAUAUUCCCGCUCAACUUAAAAAAAAAAACUUUUUUUUCUUCUUGUCUCAUCAAUGAAUUUGAUUCUUUAGCAAAAAUAGUGUUAAAACACAAGUUUGAGUGCAUGGUUACUUUCGCUCGAGCAAGAAUUGACUUGUUGGAGAAAAAUAUCAACUAUUGCAAUAAUACAAAGUCAUUUUUAAAGUUGUACCUUAAAACCAAUUCAAACUCAAACAUUAAAAAUAAGUUCAACAACACACAACAUCAAAUAGGGCAUGAAGUGUUCACAUCACUCUUUAGUUUAUUUUAUUAUGCUAAGGAUCUGCCAAAAAUAUAAUUAUUUUUUCUUACGUGAAAUUCCUUAUUUCAAGAAAAAAUCUACCUCAAGCAAAAGAACCACUCAAAAUUUAAAGACCUAAAGCAAAAUAUUCAAACUUAAUUAAAUUUGAAUAAAAGGUUAAUCAAGUUGAUGAUCGCUUUUGGCAACUAAUUUUACCAAGAUGGAUGACAUAAUUAUAAGAAAAUAAAAAAUAAAGAAUAUUCAGGGUAAAUAAGAACUUAUCUUGUUUUGAAAAUCUAAUUAGAUAAAAAUAAUUUCUAAAUCUUUAGCUAUUGUAGGGUGUGAUCAAAAUUUAAAAUAAAUGAAGUGUGAAAAGCAGAAAAGUAGAAUGAAAGGUCAUGAAAAUGGCCAAUUGCAGUAAAAGAGAGUGUCAAAACAAGAAUCGUGAAUACAGAGAAGUUCAGAGAAAAAAUGAGGAGAAGCUUUGAGAGAGAGAAAAGAUGAGUGAAAGAGGGUUUCAUUAAUCAAUCUAUGAAAAUGUACAGUGUCAUGUGUUUUUACAAAAGGUAAAAGAAUAGGCAAUUUCUUCUUGCACCCCUACGUUUUUCUUCCUGCACCCCCACAAUGUAAUGUAAAGACAAAAAUAUCCCUAUUAUUUUUUAAAAAUUCCAAAAUACACAUAAGACCCACAAUACUCUUUCUUCUUCCGGACAAUGCAAUUUGGUAAUUUUAUGGAAUAGGAAAUCCGCAUUUAUUUUUUUGCAUUUUGAAUUGGGAAAUCCAUAAAUCUUCCGAAUUGGUGAAUCUGGUAAUCUUCCGGAUUGGUGAAUCCGGUAAUCUUCCGGAUCCAUCAAUCCGUAACAAAAAUUAGACUUCUGGAUUCAGUAAUCCAGAAAUCAACAAGUUGCUUUUGAAACACCCCUUUAUUUGAAAAAGAACACGAAUCACUUCUGGAUUGAUGAAUCCGUAGCACACUCCCGGAUCCCAAUAUCUGGUAACCUAAAAAACUCUAGUUUUUUUAAAAUAAAAGGUGAAGGUCAGUUUUGGGAUUUACAAAAUUUUGGGGGUGCAGGAAAAAAAUGUAGGGGUGUAGGAAGAAGAAGCCAAAAGAAUAUAGGCGGGUGUUUCUUCCUGCACCCCCACAGUCUUGUGCAAAGACAAAAUUGCCCUUUAAAAUUUUUGAAAUUACAAAAUUACCCUUGAUGUAAUAAAACCCUAAAAAGUUAAAAUGAUGGUCAUUUGUGCGUGGUGGCCGGCCGUCUUCUUCGAUAGCACAGGUCUUCUUCAGCAGCAAUCUCUUGCAAUAGCUUCUUCUUCCAAAUCUCAUCCAUCUCUCAUUCAUAAAGGUACAUUCAUGUGUUUCGGAUUUUGGUAUCCGUUUUUUUCAUGGAUUGUUGUUUCCGUAAAUAUUAUUUCACAUUCCAAAUCACAGAAUCCGGUAAGUUUUCGAAUUUGGGGAUCCGGUAGUUUCCCGGAUUUGUGGAUCCGUUAGUUUCCUGGAUGUAAGGAUCAGGUAGUAUUCCGGAUUUAGGAAUCCGGUAGUGUUCUGGAUUUAGGUGAAGUUUAACACCCUUUUUUCUUUCAUUUUCACCCAUGUCACUCCUUAGUACUAAUUCUUCAAGCUGUAAGAGAGGCAUCCACUAGUCUUGGAGUUGAAAUUAGUAAAGUCUUGUAGUUAUUGUUAUAACAUCUUUACCAUAUAUGCUUAUUCCUUGUAUAUUUUUCUCUGGUUAGUUUGAAGUUUUAAUAUUUAUUUCACUUUCCAGUUUUUAUAUUCCUUUCAAGGAAGUCAUGACUCGCAAACUCAUUAGUAAUCACAAUGUCGGUAAUGCAAGUAAAGCAUUCCGGAUUCAUGAAUCCAUAACACAAAAUACUGUACCGGAUCAACCCAUCCGUAAUGAAAUUUUAGCUUCCAGAUUCACAAAUCCGGAGAACAACAUAUUAUUGCAUUUUACUUCUGGAACACCCCCUCAUCCGGAACACAUUAUUUCAUUUAUUCCGGAUUCAUGAAUCCGGAAGGUAUUACCGGAUUCCGAUAUCCGGUAAUCCCGAAAUUUCCAUAACCACCGUGUUUCUUAAAAAAAACCUUUACUCUUACCUCUAUAACCCAGACAACAGUUCGGCAACGUUGUGUACUCCUCCGCCUUUCUUCCAACAAUUAUGAAGAACCUCCGCAACACUUGAAACCCAAGGAUGAAGAUGAGCAGUGACUGUGGAAGUGCUGAACGUUGCCCUUUUCAAAUUUUUGCUCAAGGUUAAUGUUGGAAUAUUGAAAAUUGUGGGGGUGCAGGAAGAAAAACGUGGGGGUGCAGGAAGAACAAGCCAAUAUAGGCACUAGUAAGAGCCCAAAAACCCACAAAGAGCCCAAAAACAGAAAAGAGAAAAAAUAGAAUAGCUGCAGUAACAGAAUAAUAUUCUAAUACAAAUACACUAACAGAAUGAUAUUUUAACAAAAGGAAAGAAAGUGAAGGCAGAAAAAAUUACAAUUAUUCUCAACAACAACAAAAUUGUAUCAUUCAGAAAUUAUAUUAUUUACAAAAAAUAUUAAAAUAUAAUUUCUUAUCUUUUUUUUUUCAUCUCUGAAUUGGAAUUAUGUAUAUGAAAUCUUAAAAAAACGACUAUAUUUAUAUUUUUAUCAUGAAAUUGCUUUAUUUGAAAAUCUAAAAUUUUAACAGACUUUUCUAAAAAUAUAUAUUUUCUUUUACUUACACUGAAUUAUAUUCUAAAUUAUAAUUGAAUUGUGUAUAUAUUUUUGUAGUUGCAAUAAAUAAAAAAUAUUAUAAUAGAAGAGAUCAAACAAAUUCUUAUUAAUUUUUAUGUAUUUGAAAUUAUUCUCUUGAAAAUAUGAUAACGACCUAUAAUUUAUGAGUCAAAUUUUUAUAUUAAAUCGUCUUUUUUACACUCUAAGAAAAACAUACUUACUAAAGUAUGAAUUUAAAGUUGUUCUUAUUUCAUCUGUAUAAAAUUGUUGCCGACUAAAACUGUUUUGAAAAUUGGAUUUACAAUUGAUAAUAACAGAUGAAAAAUACCUUAAAUUAAUAUACAGUAUAUUUAUUAAAAGAUCACCAUUAUUUAAUAAUAAAAAUUAUUUGUUUUUGAAAUAUAAAAAAAUCGAUGGAACUUAUAAUAUAUAACUAUUUAUAUUAAAAGUUCUUUUUAUGUAAAUUAUUUUUAUAAUUUAUGCUAUUAAUUAUUGGUGAGAUCAUAGUCUCUUUCCCUUAAAAAAAAUAAAAAUAAAACAUUAAGUGUGGAUGACAAUAACUUUUGUCCAGCUACAUUAUAUAAUAUUAAUAUUACCCAUCGCAUAUAACUUUAGUUUUAUUAUUCAAACUAUUUAUUUAUGACUUAAUUUAAAUAAACAUCCUCAUGAAAUUUCCCGCUAAGUGAGUUGGCGCCCAAAAUCCUCUCUUAUAUAUAAAGACAGUAACAGUGAACCAAAGAAACACAACAAAACUCUAAGUGAGUUGGCGCCCAAAAUCCUCUCUUAUAUAUAAAGACAGUAACAGUGAACAAAGAAACACAAUUUCUAGCCAUUCCAACUCUCCAAUUUCAAGCGUCAAAUGUACUCUUCUCUCUUCUGUAACUUACCAUCUUUUUGGAAAUCUCCAGAGUUGAAACCAAAUCCUACAGCGUGAAACUGAAACCCCGAUUGAAAUAUUAUGUUUUGGUCAAUAUCCAAGAUCAGUUUGUUGGUAUUGCUUUGAUGAUUCUCAAUAAGGUUUUGUGGAAUUACAUGAUGUUUGCGUCGUGGGAUAGAAGAGUUAUUAAGAAUUAUUAGUAAGUGAUCAAUGUGCUUUUAUCGGAUUGUGAUUCAUUUACGCCGAAUGUGAUUCUUUGUGAUGAUGGCGAGUUUUAAAUCUUUUUUGUCUAUGGAUGAAAUGAAAAACAUAAUAGUUCAGAAAGGCCAAUUGAUCCAGGUGUUGCAUAGCAUUGAGCCUGGUAUGACUUUCUCUUUGGCUUUUCAUUCUUGAAUUUAUGGAUUCAUCUUCUCUAGUUUCUAUAGCUUCUAUUAAGAGCGCCUAGUAGGACUUUCUCUAUUGGCUUUUCUUUCUUGAAUUCAUCUUGUCUAGUUUCUAUAACUUCUAUUAAGGGUGUCAAUGGUUUUCUUUAAUUCUUGGGCUUUACAACUAACACAACCAAUGAAUCAUUUGAAGGUAUUUGAGUAAUUUUGGACUUUGUCACCAACCAUAUGGGUUGAACUGUGAACUGGUUUCUCUACUGUAAUAUUUGGAAGUGUUUCUUGGAAUCUUUCCGUGUUGUGUCGAGCCUAUGAGCGGCUCCCUUGGUUUUGAAAUUUUGAAUUUACCUUAACCUUUCUAUACUAUGUCAUAUCAUCUCUUUAAAAGAGGUUAGCUUUCUCGAAUCCCCAUGAUUCUUGUUCGGCUUUUAUUGGAAGGCAAUAUAAAUGUGGGCUGGUAUCAGAAACAGUGAAUGGCGGUCCAGUGAAACUUUAGGUUUUAUUAUCUUUGCGGUUAUUCUUUUGGCUAAACUUGAGGAGUGGGGUUCUUGUAGACAGGCACUAUAUGACUAUGAGAGGCUUUGACAUUUGUGUUUGUGUCUUCGACUUUGAUUAUCUUCUUCUACAUGUUGCAGUGACUUUCUACAUGUUGCACUGACUUACUAUGGAUGUCUGUUGGAUUGUGGAGGCAAUUGCCGUAGAUUAUUGGACUUGUGAAGCUUUAGGUUUUAUUAUGUUUCCAUUCACUAUCUUAUGUGCUUGAUUUGAAAUGGCUAUAUUCUCUCUUAUUGGUUGAAUAGUAGGAAGCUACACGUGUCAGUCACUGUGUGUCUAAGCUAGGGCGAUUCUUAAUUAUGCUUAUCCUUUAUCUCAUGAUCCCAACUAUCUUCCAAAAUGAGAAUGUUCUCCAUAAUGACAGUAAUAUUUAGUUAUAUUUCCAAUAUGAGAAUGAAAAACUAUCUCUCAAGGCUAUGAGUGACCUAUUCCAAAAGGAAAGCUCCAACAUGAGAGCUCUAUUUACUUCUUUCGGGUUGGGGUCUCAGUAUUUGUGAUAGGAUAUGGAAGCAGACUGUAUCUUAUUUCUAACUAUAUUUCUCAAUCUUAGUCCCUUGCUGAUUUUGGUCUUUAUUAUUUAAUGUUUUUGGACUUGAUCACCUAACAUAUGGGCUGAACUGUUGUUUAUCUACAAUAGUAUUUCAAAGUGUUUUUGUNNNNNNNNNNNNNNNNNNNNNNNNNNNNNNNNNNNNNNNNNNNNNNNNNNNNNNNNNNNNNNNNNNNNNNNNNNNNNNNNNNNNNNNNNNNNNNNNNNNNUUGAUAUUUGUGAAUUUUCUUAUUGUUUCUGUACUUUGUCAUGUCAUCUUUUUAAGAAGAUUAGUUUUCUCAAAUUGCCACGAGUCUUCUUGAGCUUUGCCACCAGUUAAACUUUAGGUUUUAUUAACUUUGCAUUUAUGAUGCUGAUAAAAAACAUCUUUGCAUUCAUUAUUUUCUUUGCUGUUAUUCUUUUUGCUACUCUUGUGGAGUCGGAGUUCUUGUAAUUGGGCCUUUGACUUUGAUGAUUUGAUUAUCUUCUACUUGUGUUGUACUGAACUUUGAGCUUUGCCAUGAGACUUCUUGAGCUUUGCCAUGAGUCUUCGUGAGCUGCCAUGAGUCUUUGUGAGCUGCCAUGAGUCUUCUUGUGCUUUGCCAUGAGUCUUUGUGAGCUGCCAUGAGUCUUUGUGAGCUGCCAUGAGUCUUCUUGAGCUUUGCCAUGAGUCUUCUUGUGCUUUGCCAUGAGUCUUCUUGAGCUUUGCCAUGAGUCUUCUUCAGCUUUGCCAUGAGACUUCUUGAGCUUCGUCACGAGACUUCUUGAGCUUUGCCAUGAGUCUUCGUGAGCUUUGCCAUGAGUCUUCUUGAGCUUUGCCAUGAAUCUUCUUGAGCUUUUACAUGAAGGAUGUAGGGUUCAGGUUUUGGAAACAGUGGAUGGAGAUACAGUUAAAGUUUAGGUUUUAUUAUCUUUGCAUUCAUUAUUUUCGUUGUUGUUAUUCUUUUUGCUACUCUUGUGGAGUGGGAGUUCUUGUAAUUGGGCCUUUGACUUUGAUGAUUUGAUUAUCUUCUACUUGUGUUGUAGUGAACUUUGAGCUUUGCCAUGAUUCUUCUUGAGCUUUGCCAUGAGACUUGUUGAGCUUUGCAAUGAGACUUGUUGAGCUUUUACAUGAAGGAUGUAGGGGUCAGGUUUUGGAAACAGCGGAUGGAGAUACAGUUAAAGUUUAGGUUUUAUUAUCUUUACAUUUAUUAUGCUGAUAAAAAAAAAAUUGCAUUCAUUAUUUUCUUUGCUGUUAUUCUUUUUGCUACUCUUGUGGAGCGGGAGUUCUUGUAAUUGGGCCUUUGACUUUGAUGAUCUGAUUAUCUUUUUCUAUUUGUGUUGGAAUGAACACUUACCAUGGAUGUUUGUUGGACAUAUUGUGAAGCUUCAGGUUUUAUUACUUUUCUACUCACUAUUUUUCUUAUUUGCUCGAUUUGGAAUGUCUACAGUUUCUCUUAUUGGCUGGAUAGUUGGAAGGUAUUUCAUUGUAUGUAUCUAAGCAAGAGUGAUGCGUCUAGGUCCUCCAUCAUCUACCGUUAUUGAUUAUAGUUUUCUUGAAUUCAUUGGCCUUACAGGAAAGCUAAGCAAUGAAGUGUGGUGUAGGAUGUAAAAAUGGUGGGUCGAAAUUCUGUGGUGAAGCUAAAUGUUUCUUUCACCAGGACAUUGUUGUGUUCAACUGAUUUAAUUUUUAACUGGCUCAACUUGUCGGUUUGAUUAUAAUCUUGUUUGUAACUUGUUGGUUUGAUUAUAAUCUUGGUUGUAUUUUGAUAAUGUAUGUUUCUAAGAGGCAUUGUGGGAUGAGAAUGAGACAAGUACAGUUGAACUUUACUCUUUGAUUUGAUGGUUUGCUUCUUGGUUUGAAAAGUUCUACUAUUUAAUUUUGAUGACUUCUCUGCAUAAUUCUAUAAUAUAGGUCUUUUGUUCUAUAUAGGUCUUUUGUUCUUUUAAUAAUUUUCCAAAACCUUUCGAUUCAUUAUUCUUGAUCCCGAACAUAUGGGUUGAGUUGUGAACUUCUUUGGACUUUUUGCAUGUAACUCUUACGCUGAAAUUAGUAUAAGAAUGAUCCUGAAAUUGAAAUUGUUUAAAUGCUUCACUUUUGUUUCAACAAUCUCCAUAUGUGUUUCUCGUUCCUUGAGUUUUGAAAUUUGCAUUUAUUUGUUUGCAACACAUUGAGUCUUUAUCUGAGGUUUCUCUUUCAGUUGAUUAACUCAACCAGUGAUGGAAUAUAGUGGGACGACUAACAUGUCUAUUCAAGCAGUUAUAGAUUUUUUUUCUUUUUUUUCCUUUAUUGUUUAUUGAGUUGAGUGUUUUCAAAAUAUUUCUGUAGCCACUUGGGAUUGAAAGUCCAACGUUAUGCCUGACAUUGGAUAAUUGGACUUCUUUUAUUAGUUUUCCAAACCGUUCAUUUUUUUCAUAUUUGUUCUAUUUGGACAGGAAUUGUAGGUGAGAAAGAUAAUGGAGUUUUGGAGGUGAAUUUGUUUAAUAUUUGUUCUAUUUGGACAGGAAUUGUAUGUGAAAAAGAUAAUGAAGUUUUGGAGGUGAAUUUGUUAAUUCCAGUGAAAACGACGAAGAACUCUUGAUAAAGUAAUUUUCUUUGUUAUUAUAUUUCUCUACCCAAUCCAGGUGUUGCAUUAAUCCCUUUGCAGCAUACAGAACUGUAACCGAUCUUAAGUUUGUAUGCAACGAUGUUUUUGGAAAUUUUGUGUCACAAACUUAUUAUUAGGAGACUACGACUUCCUUGGUUUUAUCUGAUCAUUCUGGACUUGCUAUCUUCUUCUGUGGGUUUUGGUUAGGUUUCAAUUUUCAGUAAUGUCUGGUAUGUUGACAGUAUUGGAUUUCCUUGUUUGCAUUUCAAAAACUGAACCAAUCUCAAGGCAUUACGCUUCUAUAGUUGGAGUAGUAUGAGACAACUUUGUUUCUCUGAAAUUUAGAGAGUCUCUUUAAUAUUGCAUGGUAAUUUUUUUAUACGAUGUACAAGUAUAUCCAGUUUUAUUUGGAUAUUUUUUAGCAACAAUGCUUUUGGAAUAGGAUUUGUUUGAGCGCUACCAUGAGAAAGUUCAAUUUGAAACGACAACCACUCAUAAUAGCCUAAUUUCUUCUAUAUGAGGUUUCCCCUUUUAUUUAACUUCUAAGGAAUUGAUUACCAACAUUAGGAUUGAAUUGUGAUUUGUUUUUCUACAGUGGUUUAUGAUUGUAUUCAAACAAUGUUUGGAUCUCAUCGAACCUUUAAUGAGUUGAUUUCUGAGUUUAAGAAUUCGUCUAAUAUUUUCUAAAAUUCCUCCCAUGGAACAAGUGUUUUAAGUUUUCUUGAAUUUUUUCUAUUUACCGGUAAGACAAGCAAUGGAUGUGUGAGGACAUGUAGAAACAUGCGGAUCAAUUAAAGCCUUAGUUUGUGUUAAUUCGUGACUAGCUAUUUGAAUGCAGUUUUUUAUGUGGUGACAAAGAUCUAUCAAAAUAAAAAAAUUGGUUUAGGAUUUCCUCUCUAUUUGAUAUUUUCAGAUUUGAUCACCAAAUAUAAGGAUUUUCCGUUACCAUUUGUUUUUCUGCAGUGAUGUUUGCAUUAUGUUUCAUGCUACGUCUAAUGGAUCAUGUUGUCUGGAAGGUUUUAUGGCUCUUGGUAACAGGCUUUACAAGUGCUUCAGAGGAUCAGUAGUUUCAGAGCUGAUACCUAUUAUCAUAAUUGUGUCUCGCAGUGUGAAUUGUUCAAGUUUAUUUAUUUGCAAAAGGGAUCAGUUCUCCAAUAAUUUUUGCAGAAGAUUGGAUGGCUAACAUUAUUGUUCGUUCAUUUGAUCCAGUAAGAGCUCAUUCUAGAAAUGUGGACUUCUCUUUAAAAGCCUUUAGUAUGUUUACUAUCUUCAAAAGAUAUUUUUUCUGGAUCUAUUGUUUUGACAGAGCAGGUCUUCGAGGAAGUCACGGGUCUCUUAGAUUUGGAAUUGUUCAAGUACCAUCAACAUGAUUUCAUGAUCUCUUAUGAUUUCCCCUGAAUUUUUGGUUGUUGUUUUGACAGGGUAGGGUUUGGGUAGAGUUUGGGUUUUUGGAUUAGGAAUUGUCCAACUACCAACAAUGUGUAAACCCUAAACCCUAAACCCUAAAUAUAUAUAUAUAUAUAUAUUUUUGCUAGUUUUAUUUUUCAUUGAAUUACUUAAUUGCUUUAUUAAUAUGAUCAUUUGAUUAUAAAAUUAUUCUUGGUAGUUAUAUAAUUAUUCAUGGUUGUUUUAUUACCUUUAAUAGUUAUUGUUGUUGGAAAAGUAAUCUAGAAGUCCUUUGUUGGCUAAUGAUUCUCUAACAUUUUUUUUUUAAAUUUCAUAGUAGUUGUAUUUUGCUUUGACAAUUUAGUUUAGUUUUUUUAUUGAUUCCUGCAUCGACAAAUGAAUUUUGAACUUGUUCUUGCAUAAUUUAUCAUGGGAUAAAAUGAAUUGGUGGUGUAGGUUUGGAAAACAGUGGAUCUGGACCCUGUGGAACUUUGGUUUUAUUCUGUGUUUAUUAUUUUCUUUGAUGCUAUUAUGCACGGAUAAACUUGUGGACUGGGAAUGCUUACCUCUUUAUGACAGGCAUUGUAAACGUCUGUGUCAGCCAUUUAAUUUUCUCUUUCUAGUUCACACUCAGACAUUUCUUUCAGCAACUGAGUCAUUUAAUCGCAAAGAGAGUUUUGUUUCCUUUCAUGUUCUUUGUUGUCAAUACAACCUUUGUUUCUUUCUUAUCAGCUAUAGUAUUUAAUUCAAUGCGAUCUCAGGAUGUGUUACUUGGAAGUGAUGUGGUUAUUCAUUCGAGGAUUGAUGUGUUAUUUGGAAGUGAGGUGAGGCUAUCUGAAUACCGGAAGGAGAUCCAUUCUCUUUGAUGACAGAUGCCUACUUGAGUUUGGAUGUAGUUAUUUAUUUGAUGACAGAGAUCUAUCAUAUGUAACUUUCUGUUAGUUCCUUUUCAACAGGGGAUUCUGGUUGAGGAUUAAAAAACAUAAAUUUGAAUAUUGUUUUUGUCUAAUUAUUGAAAUAUGACAAAUCUAGCGGUUUGAUAUGUGAAUAUGUUGAUUCUUUUUCAGCAAAUCAUAGGUUAGUAACAAUAAAAUGCUCAGGGAAGAUGUCUCCCCUCUAUUUGAAACUUUGUGGAUUGAGCGUAUUUUUCCAGACUGAUAUGUGAGGUAGGAUGUGGAAACACUUACCAGGACAUUUGUGAAGCUUUAGGUUUUGUUACCCUUACCAUUCUUGUGUCUUUAUUUGUGACUGACUAAACUUCUUGUUUGGAUUCUAAGUUUUGGUUGGAUUCAUUGCUAACCUUGUAGUUUGACUGGCAGUCUGGCAAUUCUUGUGGGUUUAGAGGUCGUGUAAUUUGGGGAGGACUUGUCUGGCAGAAUUUUUAACUACUUAUAUGAAGUACUGAAUUAAUAGUGAAAAAAAGAUAAAAAAAAUAUAUCAUGGCUAUUAAAAGUUUAUGUUUCUUGUCCUGUUCAGCCAUGACACUUGUGUGAACACUUGCUUCUUUCUCUAUUGCCCCAUAUGCAUUUUUUUCACAAUUUUUACUCUUUUUUAAGUUAUCCAUUUCUAAGUAAUUUAGGCUUCUCGUAGCUUUUACCAGUCCUGGAUUCAUAGUGAAAUUUGAACCUUUUACAUGGUGCAAUUGAAAUUAAGGAGUGAAUUAUUGAUCUUUAGUUUUACAGUACUGAAUUAAUUUUGGAUUUGCUUUGGUGUAGCAAAUUUGAAAGGUCAUUUUCUUAGUUAUUACUUCAUUUACUAAAUAAUCAAGAGCAUUGGACAAUUUGAUUUUGUAGUGUUUUGUUUGCUGCAUUGACAAAUGAAUCUUGCAUUGUAUUGUUUUUAAUAGUUCUGGAUUACAUUCUGAAUAUGACAUAUGAUGAUCUCUUCUAUCUUCCAAUAUGAGAAUGAUCUGCAACAUUAGAGUUGUAUUUAGUUCUAUCUCCAAAGGGAGAAUGAGAAAUUGAGAGCUCUAUUUAGUUUUAUCUCCAAUUAUCUCUAAUAUGAGAAUGAGAAACAACAGUAGUUGGAAUGUUUUCUGGCAAUCUUCCUGUGCUAUGAUUCAGUUCUCUCUCCAUAUAUGAGAAUAAGAAAAUGAGAAAGAGAAACAAGAUUAUUUGGAAUGUUUUUUGUCGUAAUCUUCUUGCACUAUGAUUCGGUUCUCUCCCAAUAUGCGAAUGAGAAACAACAAUAUUUGGAAAGUUGUCAUAAUCUUCUUGCGUUAUAUGAUUCGGUUCUGUCCCCAAUAUGCGAAUGAGAAGAUGAGAAACAACAGUAUAUGAGAGCUCCAUUUAGUUCUAUCUCCAAAUGAGAAACAACAGUACAUGAGAGUUCUAUUUAGUUUUAUCUCUAAUAUGAUAAAGAAGCGAAACAAAAGUAUUUGGAUUGUUCUCUUUGUAAUCUUCGUGUGCUAUGAGCAACGCCUCCCCUCGAGGCUAUGGUAACGGGUGAUGCCUCUCUAUUCCAACAUGAGAUCUCUAUAUAUUAUGUGGAAGCAGACACCAUCUUUUUGUCGUCUAUAUUUCUCAGCUCUUGCUGAUUUUGCCGUGCUGUUUUCUUGAUUUACCAUGCUUUUUUUUAUCAGCAAAGAAUGAAAUUAAAUUAAGAGGGAUACAAAAGGGGUAUCUCAACUCUUUUACAUAAACCAAACCACAUUAAGAAUCUCCAAGAAUAAAGAGAUGAAUAAACACCACAGAAGCAAUAGAUAGAUAAUGUUUGUUGCAUAAGUUAAACAUCCUAUUUCAGCUAGCACCGUGCUUGUAUUGGAAUGCUAUAAGCACUGCAAACUGCAGCUACAAAACCAUCAAAAUACACCAAAAUUGGUUGUCUCCACCACCUCAUUGACAUUCCUUCUACCCAACUUGCAGUGGCACGAUUGUAGCACUUGUCACAGAAUUAAUCACUUCAAUGCAGCAUCUUCCAUUCACUCCUUUUUGGACUUUGGCUUCUCCUUGUUUGCUCCUUUCAAGCUCACUUUUAACAGAAACCAAGUUCCUACUUGCCAAGGUCUAUCUCGCACUUAGAUUGGUUGGAGUUUACAACUUCGAGUUACAUCCCCCAACAUGUCUGAAUCCCCACCACAACCUCUACUGCUACCAUCUACAUGUGAGACCACUAGUUGAUCAGCAAACACACUUAGGGAUUUCCACAACAACCAAAACACCACAUAAAAAAACACAGUUUUUGUUUCCUGCAUAAAGAACCCUGAACCAGCAUACACCUUGCCUCUAUUGGUCUGUUAUAAGACACAUCAAAACAGAAUCUUUCAUCAUGUCCUUAACAUUCCUUUUGACUCCCUUGCAUACAAGCACAUAUGUCCUUUCCAUCUUGCACUAGCUGCAGGCCGUGACAAACCCACCAACACCUCCAACCAACUAUAAAUCCAGUAUAGGUCGUAGUCUUAAAACUCUUGGCACCUGGGAGUACUAAUUAUAACUUCUAAUGCAAAGCAUUGGAUUAAGAAUCCAGUCUACGAAAGAAUAAGUAAAGAAAUGCACCUUGUGUUUCAUCCAAAGCCAGGAUUUGAGUUGAGCCUUCUGAAACACCUCCUCCGCAUCUACUAGCCCUUUUUUGAAUACAAUCAGGUUCCUUUGGUCCCAGAUACACCUAAUAACAGAUGCCCAAACACCUUUCCAUACCAGGUUUUGCUUCUUACUAGCAUUGCUCAGAUAAAAACUCAUAAAGUGCAUAAUUAAAUCAUUUUGUUGAACAGAAGAGAUACCUAUCCAUUUGAAGCACAAGGACCAUACCCAUUGUGCGUAUUUACACUCCAAGAAGAUAUGUUGACAAGACUCCUCCUUAAGCUGACACAUUGCACAUAACGUAGAUUCCAUCAUUACCCCUCUCCUACUCAAACUCACCCUUGUUGGGAUUCUAUCCAACAACACUCUCCAAGCUGUCACGAUCACAUUUGGGAAUGCCUUAGUCUUCCAAAGGAGAUUAAACACAUCGGAUUGGGUUCCACGAGACUGCUUGGCAAGGCACUCAUAAGCAGAAUUCACAGAAAAAAAAGGGCUGGUUCUUCCUUCCCCCACACCUGCACAUCCACGUCAUUCCUUCUCAUUAGUGCCCCUGAUAACAGUGUAAAGAGGUCUGCUUCCAGUGAUGAUUCCCACUCAAAUCUGGCACGCCUCCAUGUCAGCCUCCAUCUCCAAUCCGAAUUAAUCCACACGCCAACUUCACCCACCGUUUGCCCCUGUUUUAAGGAUAGGGAGAACAGUCUUGGAAACAAGGAUUUGAGAUCAGAGCUCCCAACCCACACCUCCUCCCAUAACUUUACUUUGUCUCCACACCCUAGUUUUCAGCUUAGUUCUUCUUGAAACCAUCAUUUUCCUCCUCCCUCCUUGCACACUUUAAAGAGAUCUUUCCACCACCAAGAUUUUCAGCUUAGUUCUUCUUGAAACCAUCAUUAGUCCAAUUUUAAUACAUGAUAUGACAAAUGGAUUGAAUUAUGAUAUUGUCUCCUUGAAGCUUGAAUUUAUGAUCGUGUCUCUGUGCGCUGUGAUCUUAGUCACAUUGGUGGUAUAGACAAAUUGAAAAGAAGGAUCUUGGAGUCAUUCCUUUCAUUUUAGUAGUGGUAAUUACCAAGAGCUCAAGACUAUUUGACUUCAAUUUUUUCAUUACAAAACUUUAUUUUGUCUUUAUUAGUUUCUUUCAUUGAGAAAUGAAUUUUGAACUUGGGUUCUUGCAAAGCAUCAAUGUUCUUGCCUAAUUUGUGUUGCAAGAUUAUUGAUCUUUUGUAUUGGAGUUCCAAAAAUUAUAGUCUACUCAAGACUAAUUUCAUGAGUCUUGACUUUGCUAUUCUUAUUCGGAAGGUUUGUACUAUGUAUGUUUUGUCUUUUCUGAUUUAAAGUGUUUUUCCUUGUUUUUAUUUGUGUGGUUCAGACUGAAUAAAUGAGAUACCGAUUUUCUUGUUCUCCUCAUGUUACAUCAACCAUUUUAUUGCUACUUUUAUUCAUUUGCAAAGGCUCAGGAUAAUAUUAUUUCUUCAGAUUUCUAUGUACUUGAUAGUAAAUUUUUAGGUGUUGCAUAGCGCCUGGUAUGACUUUCUCUAUUGGUUUUUCAUUCUUGAAUUUAUGAAUUCAUCUUGUCUAGAUUCUAUACUUCUAUUAAGAGGACCUGGUAUGACUUUCUCUAUUCCUAACAAAAAAAACUUUUGUCCUCAAAAUUACCUAAAAAAAUAAUUAGGAUAUGAUUCACUUGUCUUCUUUUUCAUCUCCCGCAUAUAAGAUCUCACAACACUUUGACCUUUCACAACACUUUGGCCUUGUUUACACUUUCAUUUCAAAAGAUGGAUUUUCUCUUACAUGAAUUAAAUCAAAUUUUGUGUGACUAACUUUCCUUUUGUUGUAUACCAAGUUAACCAUCCAAUCUAUUUUUCCUCAAUCUUAAACACACAAUUUAGGUUAGUCUUAUGUUUUUCAAGCUUCUAGAAUAAUAUUUUUGCAUAAAGGUUAUUGUCAAAAAUGUCUAAGACGAUGUUGAUGUAAUCAAACUUCACGAUCCAUGACUUGACUUGUUAUAAGAACUAUAUAAACAUAUGCAUGAUAUAAAUCAAUAUCAAUAUAGAAAUCUUUCCAUGUUUAUUGGAAAGAUUACCUUUAAUUUUUAAUGGACAUGAUAUGAUACUAACCUUUCUAACUCAUUUUGUUUUUUUUUAACAAUAUUCUUAAAUUCAAAAAAAUGUGUAAUUAUAUUACUCACCUAACUCUAACUCAUUUUGUUUUUUUCUUAACAAUAUUCUCAAAUUAAAAAAGUGUGCAAUUAUAUUACUCACCUAACUGUUGCGUCUCAAAAAAUGUAUUGUAUGUUUCAACACUAGAAUAUUAAUUGUAAAAUUGACUUGCAAUGCGACCAAGUUUGGUAAAAUAAAAGUUAUUUUUUUCAUUGAAAUGCAUCAUUUUUUUCCAACACUAGUCUUUUUAGGACUAAAAGUAGGAUUUGCCAUUGCUUCAUUUCUCCAAAGGAUUCAUCCUCAUCUUUAUAAAAAGAUAAAUAUACUCCAAUCAAGCGUAAACUUCUUUAACAUUAGUUACAUACCUCUUUCACCACUUUUAUCAAACUAAUGUCUUCUUUUUGGUCAAUUAUCCACAUAACAUCAAGCAUACCAUUCAUUUUCAUAUAAAAAUAUUUAGUUUUAUUUGUUUUUAAUAGGUUUAAAUAUUUUUAAAAUUUGAAUCAACCAAUUGCUUCUCUUUCACUUCUUUUAGAAACUUGUUAAGCAUAUGACAAAUAAUAUGAGUUGAAGAUAUAGGAAUUUCUAAAUCCUACAUUCUAAAUUCUAAAUCUUUAAUCAUAGGUGUUGACACUUGUGUCUUCUCAUGAAUUGAAGCAUAUGUAGCAACAUUUCCUAUCUUAGGAUGGUACCUCAACAAAAAAUUGUAAUCUUUCAAAAACUCCAUCAAUUUUCUAUUAUCUACUUUCGUUAUUUGUAGGAUAGGAAACUAAUUGUAUAAUAACACUAUUUCAUUUCGACUUAGCCACGUUCAACUAUUGUAAUUUUCUCCUAAGUCUUUGAAGUUUCACUUCAUGAUAGUAAAAAAUAUAUUUAACCACGUCUCUUUUUAUGUUCAACUAUUAAAAAACUUGUGUAGUACUGAUAUAUAUUAGUUGUGUCUAAUGCAAAUAUAUUUAUUUUAUAAUUUUUAUACUAUAUCAUUUUCUCCAACUUAUUAUUUGUCGAUACACAAACUUUAUCUUGAACCUCAGAAUUUCAUUUACUUUCAUUACGAGAUCCUUAGCUGUUUUUGUACUUAACACUUAAUUAACUUAAGUUUUCGACCAUCACAAUCAACCAAGAUUAUCGAACUUGAUAGUUUAGUAAACUUGUGAAAGGCUUGUAAACUCAACUUGUAGACUCGUAAGAGUCUUGUUCAUAUAAAAUAUUGACAAAAAAAUAUUUAUGAUACCAAUUUCACAUUAUUAAAAUAAAAAAAUUCAUACAACAACAAAUUUAUUAAGACUUUGACUUCUUUUGUUACUGAAACACAAGGUUCAAAAUCAUAUAUCUUCAAAAUCAUAUAUCUUCCCAACAAAAUGAUGUUUGAAUGUGAAAAAUGUCUCCAUUAAAUAAUAAUUAUAUUUCACUUUUUUAUUGUUAUCUAAAACAUAUCUUCGGUGUUUCCAUCCAAUUUACGCAACAUUUUUAUUUCUAGAUGGAAGUGAUAAAGAUGUACCGACACACACUACCAAUUGCAACCAUUUCCCAACAUAAUAAUUAUUUUAACUUUAUUUUUUAACCACACUAAAAAAGACAAAAUCUUGAUAAAAAAUUAAACUAAUUUUUAGAAUUAAGAUAAAAAAUUAUCUUGAUUUAAUCAUGAAUGUGCAUCACUUUUUUUAGAUUUUUUCUUUUUCAAUAAUUUUAUCUUCAUUCAUUAUAAUAUAAACACAAUCUCAAAAUUUUUUUUUGAACUUUCAACUAAAAAACUUUAGUUAUCUUUAAAGUAGACAUAAACAAAUAUAUGCACAUGCAAAAAUAACCCACUACUAUGGAUGACAAAGUCAGGCAGGUCAACUCAUUAAGAAAGAACGCAGCGGAUGUCCUAUUUCAACUUGGGCUGAUUCUCCCUACACCCAAUCAAAUUGGACCUGUACCCAAUUGCAUUUGUGAAAGUACCGAAAUACCCUUAAUGAAAAUGAAAUUAGGGUUUAGUGAUUUCUGCACCCAAUCACACACCCAAGUUCGUUUAUGCCAUCCUCAUACUCAACAUCAUCUCUCGCACGAGCGUCCGCAUCCUCGCACCUUGGUUGGCAUUUCUCUGGCAGUGUAGUGUUGAGUGGAAGGACCCCUUGAACAAAGACGAAGCUAGGAGCGCGAAGGUCGUCCAUUGUUGCGCGAAGGUUUUAGGGCAUCAUAUGCAUCAGCGCACCCUACAAGCUUUUUCAAAAUAAACAUGACAAUGGUACAAUUGGAUUUUAGAAUGUUUUUCGGGUGCCAAUCACAAUUGAUUGGGUGCAGGAAGAAAUUGCUUUCAACUUGUUGACUUGCUUAGGCUCACCUCGCAUAAUCCGCAGUCCGCACGGGCCAAGUACAAGACGGGACAGGCUAACUCACAACCAACAUAUUUUAAAAAAUUAGACAUUUUUUUGCACCCCAUAAUUUUUUUUUUUAGCCUCAUAAUCUCAAAAAAUUUAAACUAUUCAUUCUAAAUUUUAUAAUCAGUAAUACAAAUUUGUAUUAUAAAGUGUACAAUCUAGAAUGUUGUACAAUCUUAAACCAAAUUUUAACUCUUAGAUUCUAUAACCCUAGAAGUCUCUAAAUUUCACAUUCCGAAAUUAAAGAUAAAACAUUCAACAAAAAAUGUCAAAGGAUAAUUAUAAUAUUUUUUGAAGUAUGGGGUGUAGUAAGUAGGGGUGGCAAUGCGGGCUGGCUCGCCCCGCAUUUGAUUCCCAAUGAGUGCGAUUUCAUUUCAAUGACCACCCCGCAUAAGAGGUAACCGACGGGCCUGAGGGCCAAUCCGCAUAAGAAAAAUAUUUAUUUUCAAAAAUUAAAAUUUCAUCAAAUAUAAAAAAAUUUAUUCUUACUAUGGAAAAAUUACAAUUUUAUACAUGUUUCAAUUCGUUCAAUUAAGAUAAAGUUAUAAAUUCAAGUGUGAGGAUUGUUAGAAGGUUUGAUUAAAAUUAACUAAAGUUUUAUUUUUUGCAUAUAUUUUUCCUAUAUAUGUAUGUGAAUGUAUAAGAAUACCUUAUCAAAGUUUUGUUAUAAAAUAUUUUAAUGAAGAUGACUAAUUUUUUUAACUAUCCUAUUUAAAUCUCUUUUUUUAUAUUUUUUUUAUUAACAAAUUUAAAAUAUAAGAUUUACUUAAAAUCAAAUCCAAUGUCACUCUUCAUACUAACUCCAUGGCUCAACUAAAGACCUGGUCCUGGGUAACCUAUAAAAUUCAUUUUGCUUAUUUUUCCUUUUGUGACUGGUGUUUGGAUCCCUGUUUAAUUAAACAUAAGUGUUUUAUUUAGGUUGGUUAGACUCUAUUUGUUCUAGUAGGAAGUUAGUGAUAAACUUCCCAAAUGAGGGUUGUUAGUUUUUGUGUGAUUUUGUACAUGAGUUUGGAUCACUCAUAAAGUGGUUCUUAUUUAUUUAUUUUUAUUGUUGAUAAAAAAAAACUAACUCCUUUAAAUGAUUAAAAUAAAAUAUUUUUUUUAGUAGAUUAAAUUCAAUUUUUUAAAAUAAAAUAAAUAAAUGUUGCACUACAAGGGUGAAUGAGGUAUGAUUUUUUUUUACAAAAAAUAAAAUAAUAUUUUUUCAUUUAUACGGGUCAACCUGCCCCGCUCCGUUAUUGGUCCGCUCUGGGAGUUAUGCGGGGCAGGUCUAAGCAGGUCAGCAGGGUAGAUUAGUGAGCUCGCCCUGCGCCUUUUAGUAGCGGGUUGCGGGCUGACCCGCCCUACAUUGUCAUCCCUGGCAAUAAGAAAGACAUGGAGGUGCAGGAAGAAACUAUCCUCAAUCCCUAGUUCAUAACACCUUCAUGAAAUUUGAUAAUAGUCUUUUUUUCCUUUUUAAAAUGCAUAAAUUUUAUAGGUUUCAAUAUUCAUCAAAUGUUAAAUGCAUUAGUCAGAUUUUGGCCUUUUUAUAAUAAAAUUUAAAUAUAUAAUAAUAUUAUUAUAUAUAUAUAUAUAUAUUAUUUUUUAAAUUAAAAUAAUAAUCAUGUAUCUACAUGUAUUGUCUUUAAAAAUAUAUAUAUUUAAAGAAAUAUUUAUUAGUCAAUUUAUUAUAAUUUUUUUAUCCAUAUUUUAUUACAUAUGUCGUGAGAAUAAUAUUAUGAAACUAUUUACCUAAAUCAUCUAAAUAAGAAAAAAAUUAUUUUAAUAAACAAAACAAAAUUUUAUUCAAAAUUUAUAUUUAAUUUUUUUCAUUAAUUAAAAAAAAUCUUAUGUGGAUCGGCUUGUGGGUUAGCUAGCAUGCGAGGCGGGCCAAUAAAAGCAACCCGUAUAUUUUACGCGGUACGAACCAACGUAGCCUGCAUUUUGUGGGCCAAAUGCGAGGCAAACGGACCUGCAUUGCCAUCCAUACGCACUACCCUCAUGUUAUCCUAAGGUCGAACAACUCUGAUACCAUAAAUGUAACACCCCCAAUAUUUACUAUACACUUAUUACAAAGUUUAUUGUAAUAUAAUUUUAUUACAAUAAACGUAUUCAAGAACUACAUAAACCAUACAUGGAUUUAUAUAUCAAGGAUAUUUAAUCCAUUUCUGCUCAGGCUAAAAUAUUCCCGCUCAAGUUGACAAAAACUUCUUUCUUUUAUUUUAUUUUUCUUCUUGUCUCAUCAAUGAAUUGGAUUCUUUAGCAAAAAACUUUGCUUGAACAAAAAUAGUGCUAAAAACAAGUUUGAGUGCUUGGUUAUUUUCGCUUGAGCAAAAAUUGGCUUGCUUGAGAAAAAUAUCAAAAAAAUCAACUAUUACAAUAAUACAUAGUCAUUUUUAAAGUUGUACCUUAAAAGCAAUUCAAACUCAAACAUUAAAAAUAUGUUCAACAACACACAACAUCAAAUAGAACAUCAAGUGAUCACAUCACUCUUUAAUUUAGGUUAUUCUGCUAAGGCUCUACCAAAAAUAUAAUUAUUUUUUCUUAUGUGAAAUUCCUUAUUUCAAGAAAAAAAAUCUACCUCAAACAAAAGAACCACUCAAAAUUUAAAGCUCUAAAGCAAAAUAUCCAAACUUAAUUAAAUUUUAAUAUAAGGUUAAUCAAGUUGAUGAUCGCUUUUGACAACUAAUUUUACCAAGAUGGAUGACAAAAUUAGAAGAAAAUAAAAAAAAUAGAGAAUAUUUAGGAUAAAUAAGAACUUAUCCUGUUUUGAAAAUCUAAUUGGAUAAAAAUGAUUUCUAACUCUUUAGCUAUUGUAGGGUGUGAUGAAAAUUUGAAAUAAAUGAAGUGUAAAAAAAGAAAAGUAUAAAGAAAAGGAAAGAAGAAAGAAAAGAAAAAAAAAGAAUAUUAGGAUAUAAUUUCUUAUCUUCUCUUCCAUAUUUGAAGUGGAAUUAUCGUAUAUGAAAUGUUAAAAAAAUGACUACAUUUAUAUUUCUAUUAUGAAAUUGUUUUAUUUGAAAAUAUAUUUUCUUUUACUUACACUGAAUUAUAUUCUAAAUUAUAAUUGAAUUGUGUAUAUAUUUGUUAGUUGCAAUAAAUAAAAAAUAUUAUAAUAAAAGAGAUCAAACAUCUUAUUAAUUUUUAUGUAAUAGAAACUAUUCUCUUUGAAAAUAUGGAAAUAAGAAAGAAAGUGGAGGCAUGAAAGGGAUUUACUUACAAUUAUUCUCAACAACAAAAUAUUUUAUCAUUCAAAAAUUACAUUAUUUAGAAAAAAGAUUAGGAUAUAAUUUUUUUUAUAUUCUCUUUCAUUUAUGAGAUGAAGUGGAAUUAUCGUAUAUAAAAUCUUAAAAAGCUGACUAUAUUUAUAUUUUUAUCAAAUAAGAAUUAAAAAACAGACUUUCCUUAAAAAAUAUAUUUUUCUUUUACUGAAUUAUAUUCUAAAUUAUAAUUAAAUUGUGUAUAUAUUUUUGUAGUUGCAAUAAAUAAAAAAUAUUAUGAGUGUUGACUAAUAGAGAGAUAAAACAAAUUCUUAUUAAUUUUUAUAUUAAAUUGUCUUUUCUACACUCUAAGAAAAACAUACUUACUAAAGUAUGAAGUUAAAGUUGUUCUUAUUUCAUCUGUAUAAAUUUUUUGCCGACUAAAACUGUUUUGAACUUUCACUACAAUUUUGAAAUUUGGAUUUACAAUUAAUAAUAACAGAUGAAAAUUUAUUAAAAGAUCACCAUUAUUUAAAAAUAAAAAUUAUUUGUUUUAAAAUAUAAAAAAAUCGAUUGAACUUAUAAUAUAUAACUAUUUAUAUUAAAAGUUUUUUUUUUCUGUAAAUUAUUUUUAGAAAUUAUGCUAUUAAUUAUUGGUGAGAUCAUAGACUUUUUCCCUUAAAAAAAUCAAAAUAAAACAUUAAGUGUGGAUGACAAUAACUUUUGUACAGCUACAUUAUAUAAUAUUAAUAGCUUUCCUUGACAAUUUGAUUAUUACCCAUCGCAUAUAACUUUAGUUUUAUUAAUCAAACUAUUUAUUUAUGACUUAAUUUAAAUAAACAUUCUCAUGAAAAAAAAUUAAUAUUAAAGUUAUAGUAUCUAAAAUAAUGUUUAGAGAAUCACGGUCUAAAGAAAACUAUAUUUUCAAUUUUCUUUUACCAUGUCAAUCGAAUAAAUUAAUUAAUUAAGUCUUCUAUUAAACUAAUAAAAUUCUAUAUAGAAAAAUUAUAAAUUAUUUAUUUAAAAUUUACAUAUCUUCUCACAUUAAAAUAUGUGAACAAUUUAUUUUAUUAUAAUUGAUUCACAUAAGCUAAAUAAUAAUAAUAAAAGUUAAGAAAAAAUGUAACUAUAUUUAAAUUUCCAUACAUAAUAUACUAAUAAACUAUUUAUUAUAUUAUAUAUUUUCCCGUUAAGUGAGUUGGCGCCCAAAAUCCUCUCUCAAUAUAAAGACAGUAACAGUGAACUAAAGAAACACAACAGAACUAAAUUUCUAAUUUUCUCUCCCUUCGAUUACGAGUUCAAGCGACUCGAGAACAUUCGCCGCAACGUUGAGGUGAUGGCAGCGCUCAAACUCCAUUCUAAAGCCACCCACAACUCUCCAAAGGUACUCUUCUCUCUUCUGUAACUUACCAUUUUUUUGGAAAUCUCCAGAGUUUCUCCAGAGGUGAAACUGAAACCCCGAUUGAAAUAUUAUGUUUUGGUCAAUAUCCAAGAUCAGUUUUGUUGGUAUUGCUUUGGUGAUUUUGUUUUGUUGGUGUUGCUUUGGUUAUUGUCGUGAUUCUCUAUAAGGAUUUGUGGAAUUACAUGAUGUUUUCGUCAUGGGAUAGAAGAGUUAUUAAGAAUUAUUAGCAAGUGAUCAAUGUGCUUUUAUCGGAUUGUGAUUCAUUUACGCCGAAUGUGAUUCUUUGUGAUGAUGGCGAGUUUUAAAUCUUUUGAUCAAAUCUUUUUUGUCUAUGGAUGAAAUGAAAAACAUAAUAGUUCAGAAAGGCCAAUUGAUCCAAGUCUUCUUUUAAUCUCCUUUCUAUUAUUUAAUUUAUAUGGUAUUGAUCACCGAAAAUAAGGAUUGGAUUAUGAUUUGUUUAUUAGUGUUUAUCUGCAUCUGCAUCUUUAUCAUUUUUCUACACUUCUUUUUAGUAAGAGCUUAUUUCGUUUUCUUGAAUUUUUGGCUGUACAGCUAAUUCGUUUCUUGAAUUUUUGGGCUGUAUAGGGAAGGCACGCAAUGGAUGUGUGGUGUAGUGUAAGACAUGAUGUGAAGUAUUAUGUUUUGUUACCCUAAUUUCAGUCUGCUUGAUCUCCAAGGAUUGAAUGGUGUUCCAUGUUGAAUUUUUUCUACUUGAUUUCCAAGGAUUGAAUUGUGUUUGAUGUUUGAAUUAUUUUCACUUAAUGUCCUGCAGUAUCUCAUGGAGUAUGUUAUAUAAGGCCUAAGGGUUGAAUCAUCUUUUAAUUUCUUCUAUGUGUUGAACUGGAGUUGAUCACCGAACAUUAAGAUUUUAAUUGUGAUUUGUUUCUCUGCAGCAGGGUUUUGUUUAGUUUUGUGUGAUGACCUGUAUCUCAUCGUGCCUGUUAUGAGCAACUAAGGCUCCACCGGUUUUGAAUUCAUUAAUUUAUCUUAUCCUUUCUUAAAUUCUUCCCAUGAUGUGUCGAGCCUAUAAGUGGCUCCCUUGGUUUUGAAUUUGUGGCCUCCCUUGGUUUUGAAAUUUUGAAUUUACCUUAACCUUUCUAUACUAUGUCAUGUCAUCUCUUUAAAAGAGAAUAGUUUUCUCGAAUCUCCAUGAUUCUUGUUCAGCUUUUAUUGGAAGGCAAUAUAUAUGUGGGCAGGUUUCAGAAACAGUAAAUGGAGGUCGUGUGAAACUUUAGGUUUUUAUUAUCUUUGCGGUUAUUCUUUUGGCUAAACUUGUGGAGUGGGGUUCUUGUAGACAGGCACUAUAUGACUAUGAGAGGCUUUGACAUUUGUGUUUGUGUCUUCGACUUUGAUUAUCUUCUUCUACGUGUUGCAGUGUCUUUCUACAUGUUGCACUGACUUGCUAUGGAUGUCUGUUGGAUUGUGGAGACAAUUGCGGUAGAUUAUUGGACUUACUGUGAAGCUUUAGGUUUUAUUAUGUUUUCAUUCACUAUCUUAUGUGCUUGAUUUGAAAUGGCUGUAUUCUCUCUUAUUGGUUGAAUAGUAGGAAGCUACACGUGUCAGUCACUGUGUGUCUAAGCUAGGGCGAUUCUUAAUUAUGCUUAUCCUUUAUCUCAUGAUCCCAACUAUCUUCCAAAAUGAGAAUGUUCUCCAUAAUGACAGUAAUAUUUAGUUAUAUUUCCAAUAUGAGAAUGAAAAACUAUCUCUCAAAGCUAUGAGAGACCAAUUCCAAAAGGAAAGCUCCAACAUGAGAGCUCUAUUUACUUCUUUCGGGUUGGGGUCUCAGUAUUUGUGAUAGGAUAUGGAAGCAGACUGUAUCUUAUUUCUAACUAUAUUUCUCAAUCUUAGUCCCUUGCUGAUUUUGGUCUUUAUUAUUUAAUGUUUUUGGACUUGAUCACUUAACAUAUGGGCUGAAUUGUUGUUUAUCUACAAUAGUAUUUCAAAGUAUUUUUGUAAUCUUCUUCGUGCUCUUGGUUUUGAAUGGUGGCUUCCCUUGAUAUUUUAGAUUAGUGAAUUUAUCUUAUUGUUUCUUUACUUUGUCAUGUCAUCUUUUUAAGAAGAUUAGUUUUCUCAAAUCGCCAUGAGUCUUACUUGAGCUUUGUCACGAGUCUUAUUGAACUUUGCCACGAGAAUUCUUGAGCUUUGCAACGAGUAUUCUUGACCUUUUACAUGAAGGAUGCAACGGUCAGGUUUUGGAAAUAGUGGAUGGAGAUACAUUUAAACUUAGGUUUUAUUAUCUUUGCAUUUAUUAUGCUGAUAAAAAAACAUCUUUGCAUUCAUUAUUUUCUUUGUUGUUAUUCUUUUUGCUACUCUUGUGGAGUCGGAGUUCUUGUAAUUGGCCAUUUUACUUGUGUUGUAGUGAACUUUGAGCUUCGCCAUGAGUCUUCUUGACCUUUGCCAUGAGUCUUAUUGAGCUUUGCCACGUGUUUUCUUGAGCUUUGCCAUAAGACUUCUUGAGCUUUGCCAUGAGUCUUAUUGAGCUUUGCCACGUGUUUUCUUGUGCUUUGCCAUAAGACUUCUUGAGCUUUUCCAUGAGUCUUCUUGAGCUUUGCCAUGAGACUUCUUCAGCUUUGCCAUCAGUCUUCUUGUGCUUUGCCACGAGUUGUUCUUGUGCUUUGCCAUCAGGAGUCUUCUUGAGCUUUGCCAUGAGACUUAUUGAGCUUUGCCAUGAGUCUUCGUGAGCUGCCAUGAGUCUUCUUGAGCUUUGCCACGAGUCUUGUUGUGCUUUGCCAUGAGACUUCUUGAGCUUUGCCAUGAGUCUUGUUGUGCUUUGCCAUGAGACUUCUUGAUCUUUGCCAUGAGUCUUGUUCAGCUUUGCCACGAGUCUUCGUGAGCUUUGCCAUGAGUCUUCUUGAGCUUUGCCAUGAGUCUUCUUGUGCUUUGCCAUAAGUCUUCUUGAGCUUUGCCACGAAUCUUCUUGAGCUUUGAGCUUUGCCACGAAUCUUCUUGAGCUUUUACAUGAAGGAUGUAGGGUUCAGGUUUUGGAAACAGCGGAUGGAGUUACAGUUAAAGUUUAGGUUUUAUUAUCUUUGCAUUCAUUAUGCUGAUAAAAAAAAUCUUUGCAUUCAUUAUUUUCUUUGUUGUUAUUCUUUUUGCUACUCUUGUGGAGUGGGAGUUCUUGUAAUUGGGCCUUUGACUUUGAUGAUUUGAUUAUCUUCUAGUUGUGUUGUAGUGAACUUUGAGCUUUGCCAUGAGUCUUCUUGAGCUUUGCCAUGAGUCUUCUUGAGCUUUUCCAUGAGACUUGUUGAGCUUUGCCUUGAGACUUGAUGAGCUUUGCCAUGAGUCUUCUUGAGCUUUUACAUGAAGGAUGUAGGGGUCAGGUUUUGGAAACAGCGGAUGGAGAUACAGUUAAAGUUUAGGUUUUAUUAUAUCUGCAUUUAUUAUGCUGAUAAAAAAAUUCUUUGCAUUCAUUAUUUUCUUUGCUGUUAUUCUUUUUCUACUCUUGUGGAGUGGGAGUUCUUGUAAUUGUGCCUUUGACUUUGAUGAUCUGAUUAUCUUUUUCUACUUGUGUUGCAAUGAACACUUACCAUGGAUGUUUGUUGGACAUAUUGUGAAGCUUCGGGUUUUAUUACUUUUCUACUCACUAUUUUUCUUAUGUGCUCGAUAUGGAAUGUCUAAAGUUUUUCUUAUUGGCUGGAUAGUUGGAAGGUAUUGUAUGUAUCAAAGCAAGAGCGAUACGUCUAGGUCCUCCAUCAUGUACCCUUAUUGAUUAUAGUUUUCUUGAAUUCAUUGGCCUUACACGAAAGCUAAGCAAUGAAGUGUGGUGUAGGAUGUAAAAAUGGUGGGUGGAAAUUCUUUGAUCGGUGAAGCUAAAUCUUUUUUUCACCAGGACAUUGUUGUGUUCAUCUGAAUUAAUUUUUAACUGGCUCAACUUGUGGGUUUGAUUAUAAUCUUGGUUGUAACUUGUUGGUUUGAUUAUAAUCUUGGUUGUAUUUUGAUAAUGUAUGGUUCUAAGAGGAAUUGUGGGAUGAGCAUGAAACAAGUGCGGUUGGGCUUUACUCUUUGAUUUGAUGGUUUGCUUCUUGGUUUGAGAAGUUCUUUCUACUAUUUAAUUUUGAUGACUUCUCUGCAUAAUUCUAUAAUAUAGGUCUUUUGUUCUAUAUAGGUCUUUUGUUCUUUUAAUAGUUUUCCAAAACCUUUCGAUUCAUUAUUCUUGAUCCCAAACUUAUGGGUUGAGUGAACUUCUUUGGAAUUUUUGCACGCUGAAAUUUUUGAAAUUAGUAUAAGAAUGAUCCUGAAAUUGAAAUUAUUUAAAUGCUUCAGUUUUGUUUCAGCAAUCUUCAUAUGUGUUUCUCGUUCCUCGAUUUUUGAAAUUUGCAUUUAUUUGUUUGCAACACAUUGAGUCUUUAUCUGAGGUUUUUCUUUCAGUUUAUUAACUCAACCAGUGAUGGAAUAUAGUGGGACGACUAACAUGUCUAAUCAACCAGUUAUAGAUUUUUUUUCUUUUUUUUCUUUAUUGUUUAUUGAGUUCAGUGUUUUCAAAAUAUUUCUGUAAGCACUUGGGAUUGAAAGUCCAACGUUAUGCCUGACAUUAGAUAAUUGGACUUCUUUUAUUAGUUAUCCAAAUGAAUUUGUUUCAUAUUUGUUCUAUUUGGACAGGAAUUGUAUGAAGAAAGAUAAUGGAGUUUUGGAGGUAAAUUUGUUUCAUAUUUGUUCUAUUUGGACAGGAAUUGUAUGCGAGAAAGAUUAUGAAGUUUUGGAGGUGAAUUUGUUAAUUCCAGUCAAAACGACGAAGAAAUCUUGAUAAAGUAGUUGUCCUUGUUAUUCUAUUUCUCUACCCAAUCCAGGUGUUGCAUUAAUCCCUUUUCAGCAUACAGAACUGUGAUCGAUCUUAAGUUUGUAUGCAACGACGUUUUUGAAAAUUUUGUGUCACAGACUUAUUAUUAGGACUUAUUACCUUGAUUUUAUCUGAUCAUUUUGGACUUGGUAUCCUCUUUUGUGGGUUUUGGUUUGGUUUCAAUUUUCAGUAAUGUCUGAUAAGUUGGCAGUAUUGGAUUUCCUUGUUUGCAUAUCAGAAACUGAACCAAUCUCAAGGCAUUAAGUUUUUAUAGUUGGAGUAGUAUGAGACAACUUUGUUUCUCUGAAAUUUAGAUAGUCUGUUUAAUAUUGCAUGGUAGGUUUUUUAUACUAUGUACAAGUAUAUCCAGUUUUAUUUGGAUAUUUUUUAGGAACAAUGCUUUUGGAAUAGGAUUGUUUGAGUGCUACCAUGGGAAAGUUCAACUUGAAACGACAACAACUCAUAAUAGCCUAAUUUCUUCUCUAUGAGGUUUCACCAUUUAUUUUACUUCUAAGGACUUGAGCACCAACAUUAGGAUUGAAUUGUGAUUUGUUUUUCUACAGUGGUUUAUGAUUGGAUUCAAUCAAUGUCUGGAUCUCAUCGAGCCUUUAAUGAGAUUGUUUCUGAGUUUAAGAAAACGUCUAAUAUUUUCUAAAAUUCCUCCCUUGGAACAAGUGUUUUUAGUUUUCUUGAAUUUUUGCUCUUUAUAGGUAAGACAAGCAAAGGAUGUGAGGACAUGUAGAAACAUGGGGAUCAAUUGAAGCCUUAGUUUGUGUUAAUUCGUGACUAGUUAUUUGAGUGCAGUUUUUUUAUUUGGUGACAAAGAUCUAUCAAAAUAAAAAAAUUAGUUUAAGAUUUCCUCUCUAUUUGAUAUUUUCAGAUUUGAUCACCAAAUGUAAGGAUUUUCUGUCGUCAUUUGUUUUUCUACAGUGAUGUUUGCAUUAUGUUUCAUGCUACGUCUAAUGGAUCAUGUUAUCUGGAAGUUUUUAUGGCUCUUGGUAACAGGCUUUACAAGGGUUUUCAGAGGAUCAGUAAUUUUAGAGGUGAUACCUAUUAUCAUAAUUGUGUGUUGCAGUGUGAAUUGUUCAAGUUUAUUCAUCUGCAAAAGGAAUCAGUUCUUCAUUCAUCUUUGCAGAAGAUUAGAUGGCUUGUUCAAGUUUAUUCAUUUGCAAAAGGGAUCAGUUCUUCAUUCAUCUUUGAAGAAGAUUAGAUGGCUAACUUUAUUGUCCGUUCAUUUGAUCCAGUAAGAGCCCAUUCUAGAAAUGUGGACUUCUCUUUUUUGUUCAUUUUUAGAUUUGGAAUUGUUUAAGUACCAACAACAUGAUUUCAUGGUCUCUUAUGAUUUCUCCUGAAUUCUUAGUUGUUGUCCUACUACCAACCAUGUGUGUAAAAGUUUGAAAUAUACGUUGUGGAUAUUUUCUAGGGAUAUAUAUAUAUAUAUAUAUAUAUAUAUAUAUAUAUUUAGUUGCUAGUUUUAUUUUUGAUUGAAUUACAUAAAUGAUUUAUUAAUAUGAUUAUUUGAUUAUAUCAGAGUUGUAGUGCUUUUUAUAAAAUUGUUCUUGGUAGUUAUGUAAUUGUUCAUGGUUGUUUUAUUACCUUUAAUAGUUAUUGUUUUUGGAAAAAUAAUCUAGAAGUCCUUUGUUGGCUUUUGAUUCUCUAACAUUUUUUUUUUAAUUUUAUAGUAGUUGUAUAUUGCUUUGACAAUUUAGUUUAGUUUUUUUAAUUGACUCUGAUUGUUAAUUAAAUAUUUAUUUACAUUAGAAUGUUGAUGAUGUAAAUGAUUUCUUUUAAUGUUGAUUAUGAUUCUAUUUUAUAAAAUAUUGUGUUAUGGUAAUCAUUAAUUAAUUGCUUUGUAUGCACUCAUUUAUCAUAUUGUUGUAUGACAAAUCUUAAAGCUCCCUAAGAGAAAGGUUCAUGGGUUGCUGUGUGGAAAGUUCUAAAACACGCUCAAUAUAGUAAAUUAUGGAUCAUGUGCUUUUACGGAAGAAUUAUUAAUAAAUUGAAGUACAUGAAUUCUUAGUAUAAUUCUCUAGUUGAUGAUGACGAGUUUUUAACCUUUCGCUUAAAUUUCUUUGCACCUUUUAAGCUUAUGGCUGGUUCACUGAUAUUUCUUUUGCCUUUGGAUGAUAUGAAAACCCCAACAGCCAAGGGCUAAGCAUAACGGAAGUCUUUUGAGUUUCCCUUUUAUUAUUUUUUUUUCUGGUAUUGAUGACCGAACAUAAGGAUUGAACUAUGAUGUGUUUAUCUGCAGUGGUGUUCGGAUUAGUUGGGUAUAUUCGCAUUAUCAAGUUUCUAUACUUCCUCUUAGCAAGAGCGGUUAUUGUUUCCUUCAAUUUUUUGACUGUAAAGGGUUUAUCGUUUCCUUCAAUAAAAUUUGAUAUUCGUGUUCAUUCCUUUUCAGCAAGUCAAGAGUCUCUGAGAUUUCUUUUGGCGGUUGAGGAACAAGAUGGUUUUACAGGAUAUUCUAAUUUCUCUAUACUUGAUCACCAACAUUGAAUAGUGAUUUGUUCUUAUGCAGUAAACAUAAAGAUUUAUUUUUGAUUUGUUUCUCUACAGCAAUGUUUUGAUUUUUUCGUAUCUAAUAGUUCUUUAUUACUAGUUAUAGUUCUGUUAAUUUCUCUAGCAAGAGCUCAGGACUAUUUGGAUUCAAUUUUUUUAUAACAAAACUUUAUUUUGUCUUUAAUAGUUUCCUUCAUUGACAAAUAAAUUUUGAACUCGGUUCUAGCAAAGCAUCAAUGUCUUUGCCUAAUUUGUGUUUCAAGAUUAUUGAUCUUUCGUAUUGAAGUUCUGAAAAUUAUAUUUUUUUCUUAGGUGGAGAAGUAUUGAAAAGAUGGAUCUUGAAGUUAUUCCUUUCAUUUUAGUAGUGUAACUAGCAAGAGCUCAAGAUUAUUUGCCGCCAUUCUUUGAUUACAGAAGUUUUUAUUUUGUUUGUUUCUUGCAUUGACAAAUGAAUUUUGAACUUGUUCUUGGAUAAUUUAUCUUUGGGAGAAAAUGAAUUGGUGGUGUAGGUUUGGGAAACAGUGGAUCAGGACACCCUGUGGAAAUUUAGGUUUUAUUAUGUGUUUAUUAUUUUCUUUGCUGCUAUUAUUCAUGGAUAAACUUGUGGAUUGGGAAUGCUUACCUCUUUAUGACAGGCACCGUAAAUGUCUGUGUCAGCCAUUUAAUUUUCUCUUUCUAGUCCACAGACAUUUCUUUCAGCAACUGAGUCAUUUAAUCGCAAAGAGAGUUUUGUUGCCUUUCAUGUUCUUUGUUGUCAAAACAACCUUGUUUCUUUUUUAUCAGCUAUAGUAUUUAGUUUCACUGCGAUCUCGGGAUGUGUUAUUUGGAAGUGAUGUGGUUACUCAUUUAAGGAUUGACGUGUUAUUUGGAAGUGAGGUGGUUAUUCAUUCGAGGAUUGAAUUCCAUUCCCUUUGACUUGCAUUGUUUGUGUUCAUUGCUAUCAAACAACUUUCUUCAUUUUAAAUGUAUGGAGUCUAUUUUUUUAAGAUGAAAUCCCCACUAAAUGUUUAUGUUUUAUUUUUUCUUUCUUUUUCAUCAUCUCCUAGUUAUUUGUGUUUCUCAUAGGCUUGGUCUCAUCCCUUCGACUUGCAUAUGUUUGUGUUCAUUGCUAUUGAACAACUUUCUUUUUUGCCAUUAGUCUUCUGGAGCUUUGCCAUGAGACUUCUUGAGUUUUGCCGUGAGACUUCUUGAGUUUUGCCGUGAGACUUCUUGAGCUUUGUCACAAGUCUUCUUGAGCUUUGCCACGAGUCUUCUUGAGCUCUGCCAUGAGUCUUCUUGAGCUCGGCAAUGAGUUUUCUUGAGCUUUGUCGUGAAGAAUGUAGGGGUCAGGUUUUGGAAACCGUGGAUGGAGAUGCAGUUAAAGUUUCGGUUUUAUUAUCUUUGCAUUUAUUAUGCUGAUAAAAAAAAUCUUUGCAUUCAUUAUUUUCUUUUUUGAUAUUCUUUUUGCUACUCUGGUGGAGUGGGAGUUCUUGUAAUUGGACCUUUGACUUUGAUGAUUUGAUUAUCUUCUACUUGUGUUGUAGAGAAUUUUGAGCUUUGCCAUUAGUCUUCUUGAGCUUUGCCAUGAGUCUUCUUGAUCUCUGCCUUGAGCCUUCUUGAACUCUGCCAUGAGUCUUCUUGAGCUUUGCCAUGAAUCUUCUUGAGCUUUGUCAUGAAUCUUCUUGAGCUUUUACAUGAAGGAUGUAGGGGUCAGGUUUUGGAAAUAGUGGAUGGAGAUACAGUUAAAGUUUAGGUUUUAUUAUCUUUGCAUUUAUUAUGCUGAUAAAAAAAAUCUUUGCAUUCAUUAUUUUCUUUGCUCCUAUUCUUUUUGCUACUCUUGUGGAGUGGGAGUUUUUGUAAUUGGGCCUUUGACUUUGAUGAUCUGAUUAUCUUCUUCUACUUGUGUUGCAAUGAACACUUACCAUGGAUGUUUGUUGGACAUAUUGUGAAGCUUCAGGUUUUAUUACUUUUCCACUCACUAUUUUUCUUAUGUGCUCGAUUUGGAAUGUGUACAGUUUCUCUUAUUUGUUGGAUAGUUGGAAGGUAUUUCAUUGUAUUGUAUGUAUCUAAGCAAGAGCAAUACUUCUAGGUCCUCCAUCAUCUAACCAUAUUGAUUAUAGUUUUCUUGAAUUCAUUGGCCUAAAAGGAAAGCUAAGCAAUGAAGUUUGGUGUAGGAUGUAAAAAUGGUUGGUGGAAAUUCUGUGAUCAGUGAAGCUAAAUGUUUCUCUCAUUAGGACAUUGUUGUGUUUAACUGAAUUAAUUUUUAACUGGCUAAACUUGUUGGUUUGAUUAUAAUCUUGGUUGUAUUUUGAUGGUGUAUGGUUCUAAGAGGCAUUGUGGGAUUAGCAUGAGACAAGUGUGGUUGGGCUUUACUCUUUUAUUUGAUGGUUUGCUUCUUGGUUUGGAAAGUUCUACUAUUUAAUUUUGAUGACUUCUCUGCAUAAUUCUAUAAUAUAGGUCUGUUGUUCUUUUAAUAGUUUUCCAAAACCUUUUGAUUCAUUAUUCUUGAUCCCAAACAUAGAAUUUUUGCAUGUAAUCUCGUGUGAUCCUAGACAACAAUGUCUCUUACUAUGAUGACGGACAUCAAUGUCUCUUACGCUGAAAUUUUUGAAAUUAGUAUAAGAAUGAUCCUGAAAUUGAAAUUGUUUAAAUGCUUCACUUUUGUUUCAACAAUCUCAUGUGUUUCUCGUUCCUUGAGUUUUGAAAUUUGCAUUUAUUUGUUUGCAACACAUUGAGUCUUUAUUUGAGGUUUCUCUUUCAGUUCAUUAACUCAGCAAGUGAUGGAAUAUAGUGGGACGACUAACAUGUUUAAUCAACCAGUUAUAGAUUUUUUUCUUUUUUUCCUUUAUUGUUUAUUGAGUUGAGUGCUUUGAAAAUAUUUCUGUAACCAAUUGGGAUUGAAAGUCCAGCGUUAUGCCUGGCAUUAGAUAAUUGGACUUCUUUUAUUAGUUAUCCAAACCGUUCAUUUUUUUCAUAUUUGUUCUAUUUGGACAGGAAUUGUAUGCGAGAGAGAUAAUGAAGUUUUGGAGGUGAAUUUGUUAAUUUCAGUUACGACUAUGGAGGAAUUGUAUUUUGGAGGUGAAUUUGUGAAUUUGUAUGAGACAACUUUGUUUCUCUGAAAUUUAGAGAGCCUCUUUAAUAUUGCAUGGUAGUUUUUUUAUACGAUAUACAAGUAUAUCCAGUUUUAUUUGGAUAUUUUUUAGCAACAAUGCUUUUGGAAUAGGAUUUGUUUGAGCGCUACCAUGAGAAAGUUCAACUUGAAACGACAACAACUCAUAAUAGCCUAAUUCCUUCUAUAUGAGGUUUCACCUUUUAUUUAACUUCUAAGGACUUGAUUACCAACAUUAGGAUUGAAUUGUGAUUUGUUUUUCUACAGUGGUUUAUGAUUGUCUUCAAACAAUGUUUGGAUCUCAUCGAGCCAGUUGGUUUCUGAGUUAAGAAUUUUUCUAAUAUUUUCUAAAAUUCCUCCCCUGAAACAAGUGUUUUUAGUUUUCUUGAAUUUUUGCUCUUUACAGAUAAGACAAGCAAUGGAUGUGUGACGACAUGUAGAAACAUGGGGAUCAAUUAAAGCCUUAGUUUGUCUUAAUUGGUGACUAGUUAUUUGAAUGCAGUUUUAUAUGUGGUGACAAUGAUCUAUCAAAAUAAAAAAAUUGGUUUAGGAUUUCCUCUCUAUUUGAUAUUUUCAGAUUUGAUCACCAAAUAUAAGGAUUUUCUGUUGCCAUUUGUUUCUCUGCAGUGAUGUUUGCAUUAUGGCUUUACAAGUCUUUCAGAGGAUCAGUAGUUUCAGAGGUGAAUUGUGUGUUGCAGUGUAAAUUGUUCAAGUUUAUUUAUUUGCAAAAGGGAUCAAUUCUCCAUUCAUUUUUGCAGAAGAUUAGAUGGCUAACAUUAUUGUUCGUUCAUUUGAUCCAGUAAGAGCUCAUUCUAGAAAUGUGGACUUCUCUUUAAAAGCCUUUGGUAUUUUAACUAUCUUCAAAAGAUAUUUUUUCUGGAUCUAUUGUUUUGACAGAGCAGGUCUUCGAGGAAGACACGAGUGUUGUUGAUUUUUAGAUUUGGAAUUGUUCAAGUACCAACAACAUGAUUUCAUGAUCUCUUAUGAUUUCCCCUGAAUUCUUGGUUGUUGUUUUGCCAGGGUAGGGUCUGGGUAGAUUUGGGUUUUUGGAUUCGGAAUUGUCCAACUACCAACAAUGUGUGUACAGGUUUGAAAUAGAUGAUGUGUUUGUCAGAUAUUUUCUAGGGAUAUAUAUAUAUAUAUAUAUAUAUAUAUAUAUAUAUUUAGUUGCUAGUUUUAUUUUUCAUUCAAUUACUUAAUUGCUUUAUUACUAUGAUCAUUUGAUUAUAAAAUUAUUCUUGGUAGUUAUAUAAUUAUUCAUGGUUGUUAGAUUACCUUUAAUAGUUACUGUUGUUGGAAAUAUAAUCUAGAAGUCCUUUGUUGGCUAAUGAUUCUCUAACAUUUUUUUUAAUUUUAUGGUAGUUGUAUUUUGCUUUGACAAUUUAGUUUAGUUUUUUUUAUUAACUCUGAUUGUUUCCAGCAUCGACACAUGAAUUUUGAACUUGUUCUUGCAUAAUUUAUCAUGGGAGAAAAUGAAUUGGUGGUGUAGGUUUGGGAAACAGUGGAUCAAGACCCUAUGGAAAUUUGGGUUUUAUUCUGUGUUUAUUAUUUUCUUUGCUGCUAUUAUUCACGGAUAAACUUGUGGACUGGGAAUGCUUACCUCUUUAUGACAGGCACUGUAAAUGUCUGUGUCAGCCAUUUAAUUUUCUCUUUCUAGUCCGCACUCAGACAUUUCUUUCAGCAACCAGUCAUUUAAUCGGAAAGAGAGUUUUGUUUCCUUUCAUGUUCUUUGUUGUCAAAACAACCUUUGUUUCUUUCUUAUCAGCUAUAGUAUUUAAUUCACUGCGAUCUCAGGAUGUGUUAUUUGGAAGUGAUGUGGUUAUUCAUUCGAGGAUUGAUGUGUUAUUUGGAAGUGAGGUGGUUAUUCAUUCGAGGAUUGAGUUUCAUUCCCUUUGACUUGCAUUUUUUUGUGUUCAUAGCUAUCAAACAACUUUCUUCCUUUGAAAUGUAUGGAGUCUAUUUUUUUAAGAUGAAAUCCCCUCUAAAUGUUAAUGUUUUAUUUUUUUUCUUUCUUUUUCAUCAUUUCCUAGUUAUUUGUGUUUCUCAUAGGCUUGGUCUCAUCCCUUCGACUUGCAUUUGUUUGUGUUCAUUGCUAUUAAACAACAUUUUUUUUAAAUGUAUGGAGUCUUUUUUGUUACGUCUAGAGAUGUUGAUUUGCUUGUUUUCAUUCCGUUUUAGGUGUUGAUUUGUUUGCGUUCAUUCCUUUUUAGGUGUUGAUUUGUUUGUGUUCAUUCCUUUUUAGCAUUUGGAGGCCUCAAGAAUGGUUGAGGAUUAAAAUCUGGAAGUGUUUAGAACGACCAAUAAUUCAGGAUAACCUAAUUUCAUUAGUUUCCUUUCCAUUUGAUUUCUUGAGAUUUGAUCACGAAGAAUAAGGAUUGAAUUGUCAUUUGUUUUUAUGAUGUCUUUCUUUGUUUUGAAUGUCUUAUUGUCUCUAUACUUCAACUCUAUGAGCCGUUGUAGCCUUCCUGAAUUCUUGGGGUGUACAGUACAGGACAAACAUGCAACAGAUGUUACGUAGGACAGAUGUGAGUAUCCUUAAAGCUCUAGGUUUUGGUAUCCACACAUAUUUUUGUCUUUAAUUGGGACUGGCUAUUUGAAUUUCUCUGGUUUUUGAAUUCCUUCAAUUCAUCUUAUGCUUUCUUAACUUCUUGGUCUUUAUUACCAAUAUCUAUUUUUAUUUAAAUAUAGUUCUUAAAUUUUUUAUGUCUAGGUGUUGAUUCGUUUGUGUUCAUUUCUUUUUAGCAUGUAAGACUGGUUAAGGAUUAAAAUCUGCUAGUGUACACGAAAAACAAGCCACGGAUGUGAGGUAGGAUAUCUAAAUACUGGAAGGAGAUGCUUGAUUCUGUAGGUUAUCCAUAAUCUUUGAUGACAGAUGCUUACUUGAGUUUGGAUGUAGUUAUUUAUUUGAUGAAAGAGAUCUAUCAUAUGUAACUUUGUGUUAGUUCCUUUUCAGCAGGGGAUUCUGGUUGAGGAUUAAAAAACAUAAAUUUGAAUAUUGAUUUUGUUUGAUUAUUGAAAUAUGACAAAUCUAGCUGUUUGAUCUUUGAAUAUGUUGAUUCUUUUUAGCAAAUCAUAGGUUAGUAAUAAUAAAAUGCUCAGGGAAGAUGUCUCCCCUUUACUUGAAACAUUGUAGAUAGAGCAUAUUUUUCCAGACUGAUAUGCGAGGUAGGGUGUGGAAACACUUCCCAGGGGAUUUGUGAAGCUUUAGGUUGUUACCUGUUAGAUAUUAUUAGAUAUUAUUAGAUAUUAUUAGAUAUUAUUAGAUAUAAUUAGAUAUUAUUUGAUAUUAUGAGAUAUUAUAGAUAUUGUUAGAUAUCUCAUAUUUAUGUAAUGGGCUUAGCCCAUAUGUUUCUUUUCCUAUAUAAACAUAACCCUAUGUGUUCAAUAUACACAAGGGAUUUACCCUAUUCUUUCUUUUCCUUUAAUAUUACCCUUACCAUUCUUGUGUCUUUAUUUGUGACUGACUAAACUUCUUGUUUGGAUUCUAAGUUUUGGUUGGAUUCAUUGCUAACAUUGUAGUUUGACUGGCAGUCUGGCAGUUCUUGUGGGUUUAGAGGUCGUGUAAUACUCUCUUUUUUAAGUUGUCCAUUUCUAAGUAAUUUAGGCUUCUCUUAGCUUUUACCAGUCCUGGAUUCAUAGUGAAAUUUGACCCUUUUACAUGGUGCAAUUGAAAUUAAGGAGAGAAUUAUUGAUCUUUAGUUUUCUAGUACUGAAUUAAUUUUGGAUUUGUUUUGGUGUAGCAAAUCUGAAAGGUCAUUUUCUUAGUUAUUACUUCAUUUACUAAAUAAUCAAGAGCAUUGGACAAUUUGAUUUUGUAGUGUUUUGUUUGCUGCAUUGACAAAUGAAUCUUGCAUUCUAUUGUUUUUAGGAGUUUUAGAUUACAUCCUGAAUAUGACAUGAUGAUCUCUUCUAUCUUCCAAAAUGAGAAUGAUCUGCAACAUUAGAGUUGUAUUUAGUUCUAUGUCCAAUGUGAGAAUGAGAAAAUUAAGAGCUCUAUUUAGUUUUAUCUCCAAUUAUCUCUAAUAUGAGAAUGAGAAACAACAGUAGUUGGAAUGUUUUCUUGCAAUCUUCCUGUGCUAUGAUUUAGUUCUCUCUCCAUAUAUGAGAAUAAGAAAAUGAGAAAGAGAAACAAGAUUAUUUGGAAUGUUUUGUAGUAAUCUUCUUGCACUAUGAUUCGGUUCUCUCCCAAUAUGCGAAUGAGAAACAACAAUAUUUGGAAAGUUUUGUCGUAAUCUUCUUGUGCUAUGAUUCGGUUCUGUCCCCAAUAUGCGAAUGAGAAGAUGAGAAACAACAGCUUAUGAGAGCUCCAUUUGGUUCUAUCUCCAAUAUGAGAAUGAGAAACAACAGUACAUGAGAGUUCUAUUUAGUUUUAUCUCUAAUACGAUAAAGAAGAGAAACAAAAGCAUUUGGAUUGUUCUCUUUGUAAUCUUCGUGUGCUAUGAGCAACGCCUCCCCUCGAGGCUAUGGUUACGGGUGAUGCCUCUCUAUUCCAACAUGAGAGCUCUAUAUAUUUUUUUGGGGUGGGGUCUCAAUUUAUGAUACCAUGUGGAAGCAGACACCAUAUUUUUGCCGUCUAUAUUUCUCAGCUCUUGCUGAUUUUGCCAUGCUGAACUUAGUUUUCUUGAAUUGCCAUUCUUCUUAAAUUUUUACAGUAAAGCAAUAGAUAUGUGGGGGCAGGUUUUGGAAACAUUGUAUGGAGAUCUGGUGAAACUUUAGAUUUUAUUAUCUUUGCAUAUUCAUCAUUUUCUUUGAUGGCUAAACUUGUGGAUUGGGAGUUCUUGUAAACAGGCACUAUGUGAGUUUGAGAGGCUUUGGCAAUUGUGUUGUUAGGCCUUCGAUCCUGGUGAUUUGAUAAUCUGUUGCAGUGAAGACUUUAUGGAUGUCUGUUACCCAAAUUACGGUACAUUAUUGGACUUACAUUUCCAUUUCACUAUUUUUUUUAUAUCCUUGAUUUGGUUGUGGUAUCUCUUAUUGGUUGAAUAGUGGGAAGGCACAUGUGAAUCUUAUGAUGUAUUGCCUUUAAUAGUUUUUGCUGUUGGAAAAAUAAUCUAGAAGUCCUUUCUUAGCAAAUUAUUCUCAUUAUUGUAGAAAUUCUAUAACAUUUAUUCAGGUUUUACUUUCUACAAUUAGUUUAUUUUUAUCCACUCCGAUAACUAAUUAAAUAUUUACUUUCUCUAGAAAGUAGACUAUGUGAUUGAUAUAUUUUAAUGUUAUUCAUAAAUUAGUUCUUUAUAUUAAUCAUUACAAAAAUGUUUGGUAUACACUCAUAUUUAUCAUAUUGCCUUCAAGUAGAAAGGUAUUUGUAUAGGGCAAUUGCUUCCUCCCCCAAUCAAUUUUGACUAGCAUUCAAUAGAAGUUUUAAAACUUCAUUAUGCCUUUUUCACGGCUUACGAAUGCCAAUAUCCAAAAGUGACAUAUUUGCCUAUGGAUAUUGCCAUUUGGAAGUGAUAGUUUUGCCUACGGAUAUUAACAUUCGAAAGUGUCAGUUUUGCCUACGGAUAUUGACAUUUGGAAGUGUCAGUUUUGCCUACGGACAUUGGCAUCUGGAACUGGCACUCUUUGAUUGCGUUCAUUUUUAUCCGAAAGGCACUAUCAUUUUUCUUAAUAUACAUAUCAGGAAGCCAAUCAUCCUUAACUUUUUUUUUUGGCAGUGUAAUGAUUUUGUUACUUUUAAUGGAUUAAAACCACUAAACCGAACCAAUUUAAAGAAUAAAAGUAAAAUCAACAUUAAAAUUUGUUACUUGCUUUUUAUUAUAAAAUAUUUAUAUUAUCAUUUAUAUAUUUUCAAAUGCAUUAACCAUUGAUGACAUAUAGAACAUUGUUGAGAGUAGAAAAAAAGCACCCAAUAAACACAUUUUGGAUUUUCAAAAUGGGACCUGAUGAAAAAGACUUUCGUGGUGCAUAUGGAUGUUUAUAUUCAUAACUCAUAACACAAUUACGGACAAAAAUAUUCAGAACCCGUGAGAAGCGUGAAGCGACACGUCUCCUUUUCUGGUGUCUUUGCUUUCUGUCGUUGUUGAAGUGGCUCAAAAGCGUUGCUUGCGUGUGUGUAAGACUUUCGGAAGAGAAUGUCUACAAGAAACAAUGAAUGACCUUCUGCACUGUGCUUGAUUGUGGGGUGUAUGGAACCUAAUUUCACUCAUUAAGGGUGUCAUGGUAAUUUCAUAUAGAUCAUUAAGGGUGUUAUGGUAAUUUCAAACAGAAAAUUGGGUGUUAGUUAGAAUUGAUUGGGUGCAGGAGAGUCAGCUUUGUGUAGCAAUAAAAAGUCACAAAGAAAUCUAUUCAACUCUAAAAGGUUGUGAUAUUUAACACCACAAAGAGUAAAAAACAUUCACAAAUUAAUAAAAUAAUAUUUUAAUCAUAUUUAAUUUAUUUUUAUUUUUAAAUAUUAUUAUAUUAUUAUAAUGAGAUGUUAAGUAUACGUUUUUACAUGGUGUCAAAAAAUUAUUUUCCUAUUCUAAAAGAACUUAGACAAAUGUCUUAUUAUAAUAAAACUAAUAAUGUGGAAAAUAUUUUAAAAAACACUAAUAAAAGAAAUAAGUUUAUUUUUCAAAUUGAAGUCAAAUUAAGAUUAAAACAAUCUUAAAAUUUAAUUAUAUUGACUAAAAAGUUAAUAAAAACAAAACAAUAUUUACAAGAUAUUUUUAAAUAUCUUUAAAAUAAUAACUGCAAAUUUGUUUCCCCUGUUUUGUGUCAGCGGUUUGUUAUAAGAUAAGGAUGAAAAUCUUAAUUGCAUAUUUUCACCUCACCGCGUAAUAUAAGCUGUCAAUCUUGACCCUCCCUUUCUAUAUAUACCCGAAGAUCUUAUUGAGUUUAUCAUAUUGAGUUUUGUUGGUAUUGGUUCCGUGAUUGAGUUUUGUUAGUACUGAUUGGGGGUGAUUGUUGUGCUUCUUAUUAUCAAGUCUCCGUGGUUUCGUCGAAUUAUAUCAUGUUUGCUAUCAUCGAUGUGGUUUUGAUGUGGUUUUGUCGGAUUGAAGAAUGCAAGAAUCUUUUAUAGGAUUGAAGAACGCCAAUUCUGAAUAUGAUUCUUUAUGUGAUGAUGACAAGUUUUGAAUCUUUUGAUCAAAUUCCUUUAUCCCUUUUCUGCUGGUGACGGGGUCUUUGAGUAUUUUCUUCUACUUUCCUUUCUAUUAUUUGAUUUAUCUGGUAUUGAUCACGAAAAUAAGGAUUGGACUAUGAUUUGUUUAUCUGCAGUGGUGUAACACGUUUCUUAGUUAGUUUUCUUGAUUUUUGGGCUGUACAGGGAAGACACGCAAUGGAUGUGAAAUGAAGUAUUAUGUUUUCUUGACUUCUUAUGGGUUUAUUCGUGACUGAUUAUUGGAUUUCGUAGCCUAACUUGGUGUUUAUGUUCACUCCCCUUCAGCAAUUCGAGUUUCUGAGAUUUGAAACCCUAAAAAGUUUGAAACGGUUGCAGCUCAGGACAUCCCAAUUCUCUCUAUCUAUUGUUUAAUUUCUCUCUACUUUAUCUCCAAGGAUUGAAUUGUGUUCGACGUUUGAAUUAUUUUCCCUUAAUGUUAUGAGGCCCCAAGGGUUGAAUUGGUGUUUGAAUUAUUUUUUUCGCUUAAUGUCCUGCAGAGUAUGUUAUGAGACAUAAGGGCUGAAUUGUGAUUUGUUUCCUGUUUGGAUGAUUUGCAUAGCAUCUUAUAGAAUAUGAAUGGUUUGGUUUUCGCACGGUUCUCGCGAGUAUGUUAUAGCCACCAUUCUUCCUUGGUUUUUAAGUCUUCAAUUUAUCUUAUCGUUCUAUACUUCAUCCUCGAUUACCAGUUAUACUUUGUUGAAUUAUUGUUCUUUACAGGGAUGAGUGGGGAUAAGACAGGGAUGUGUGGGUAGGACGUUCCUCGUGGUUGGUUGAAAAUGGUGGAUGAGCCAUGCUCGACGGUAUGAAAAACACAACGACAAUGGGCUCGACAUAACCGAAGUCUUUUUUGAGUUUUCCUUCUAUUUUUCUUCAACAUAAGGAUAUGAUUUGUUUAUCUGCAGUGGUGUUUUGAACCUUUUGCGUAAAUUUCUUUGCUCCUUUUCAGUUGGUGGCCGAUUCUCUGGCGUUUCUUUAGCUUUUGGAUGAUUUGAAAACUAGAACGACCAAGAGCUAGGCAUAACCUAAGUCUUUGUUGAGUUUCCCUUCUUUAACUUUUUUUUCUGCUAUUGAUCACAGUACAUAAGGAUUGAACUAUGAUUUGUUUAUCUGCAGUGGUGUUUGGAUUAGUUGGGUAACGACACAUACUCAUCUUAUCAUGUUCCUAUAACUAGUAAAUUCAUUUACUGAAUUUUGAGUAUAAUUGUCUAUUUGAGUAUGACGAGUUUUAUACCUUUUGCGUAAAUUUCUUUUCAGCUGGUGGCUGGUUUUUUGGUAUUUCUUUUGCCUAUGGAUGAUAUGGAAAGCACAACGACCAAGGGCUCGACAUAACCUUAAGUCUUUUUUUAGUUUCCCUUCUAUUUUUGUUAUGGUAUUGCAUAAGGAUUGAACUAUGAUUUGUUUAUCUGCAGUGGUGUUUGGAUUAGUUGGGUAACGUCACAUAUUAAUCUUAUCAAGUUUCUAUAAUUAGUAAAUUCAUUUAUGUCUAUAUGAGAAUGACGAGUUUUGAACCUUCUGCGUAAAUUUCUUUGCACCUUUUCAGCUGGAGUUCUCUGUCAUUUCUUUCUCCUAUGGAUGAUAUGAAAAGCAGAAGGACCAAGGGGCUCGACAUAACCUAAGUCUUUUUUGACUUUUUUUUUCUAUUUUUCUUUUUCCUGGUAUUGAUGACAGUACAUAAGGAUUGAACUAUAAUUUGGUUAUCUGCAGUGGUGUUAGGAUUAGUUGGAUAACGACGCAUAUUCAUCUUACAAGUUGCUAUAACUAGUAAAUUCAUUUAUGUGAAUUUUGAGUAUAAUUCUCUAUUUGAGUUUGACAAGUUUUAAACCUUUUGCGUAAAUUUAGUUUCAGCUGGUGGCUGGUUUUUUUGCCUUUCUGUUGCCUAUGGAUGAUAUGAAAAGCACAAUGACCAACGGGCUCGUCAUAACCUAAGUCUUUUUUGAGUUUUCCUUCUUUUUUUCUUUUUCCUGGUAUUGUUCACAGUACAUAAGGAUUAAACUAUGGUUUUGUUUAUCUGCAGUGGUAUUUGGAUUAGAUGGGUAACAACGCAUAUUCAUCGUAUCAAGUUUCUAUAACUAGUAAAUUCAUUUACGUCAAUUUUGACUAUAGUUCUCUAUUUGAGUUGACACUAUAGUUCUUUAUUUGAGUAUGACGAGGAAAAUUACUUAAAUUUCUUUUCAGCUGAUCAAGGGCUCAACAUAACCUUAAAUCUUUUUUGACUUUCCCUUUUAUUAUUUUUUUUAGGUAUUACAUAAGGAUUGAACUAUGAUUUGUUUAUCUGCAGUGGUGUUAUGAUUAGUUGGGUAACUUCACAGAUUCAUCUUAUCAAGUUUCUAUAAUUCAUUUAGGUGAAUUCUGAGUAUAAUUCACUAUUUGAGGAUGAUGAGUUUUGAACAUUUUGUGUAAAUUUCUUUGCAUAUUUUCAGUUAUUGGCUGGUUCUCUGGCAUUUCUUUUGCCUAUGAAUGAUAUGAGAAGCACAACGACCAAGGGGCUCAACAUAACCUAAGUCUUUUUUGAGUUUUCCUUAUAUUUUUCUUUUUACUAGUAAUAAUAACAGUACAUAAAGAUUGAACUAUGAUUUGUUUAUCUGCAGUGGUGUUUGGACUAGUUGGGUAACGACGCAGAUUCAUUUUAUCAAGUUUCUAUAACUAGUAAAUUCAUUUACGUGAAUUUUGAGUAAAAUUCUCUAUUUGAGUAUGACGAGGUUUAAACCUUAUGCGUAAAUUUCUUUUCAGCUGGUGGCUGGUUUUUUGGCAUUUCUUUUGCCUAUGGAUGAUAUGCAAAGCACAACGACCAAGGGCUCGAUAUAACCUUAAGUCUUUUUUGAGUUUCCCUUAUAUUAUUCGUUAAUGGUUUUACAUAAGGAUUGAACUAUGAUUUGUUUAUCUGCAGUGGUGUUUUGGAUUAGUUGGGUAACGUCGCAUAUUCCUCUUAUCAAGUUUCUAUAGUUAGUAAAUUCAUUUAUGUCUAUAUGAGGAUGACAAGUUUUGAACCUUCUGCGUAAAUUUCUUUGCACCUUUUCAGCUGGCGUUCUCUAGCAUUUCUUUCUCCUAUGGAUGAUAUGAAAAGCAGAAGGACCAAGGGGCUCAACAUAACCUAAGUCUUUUUUGAGUUUUUUUUUCUAUUUUUCUUUUUCCUGGUAUUGAUGACAGAACAUAAGGAUUGAACUAUGAUUUGUUUAUCUGCAGUGGUGUUUGGAUUAGUUGGAUAACGACGCAUAUUCAUCUUACAAGUUUCUAUAACUAGUAAAUUCAUUUACGUGAAUUUUGAGUAUAAUUCUCCAUUUGAGUGUGACGAGUUUUAAACCCUUUUUGUAAAUUUACUUUCAGCUGGUGCCUGGUUUUUUGGCCUUUCUGUUGCCUAUGGAUGAUAUGAAAAGCACAACAACCAAGGGCUCGACAAAACCUUAAGUCUUUUUUGAGUUUCCUUCUAUUUUUUUAUGGUACUACAUAAGAAUUGAACUAUAAUUUGUUUAUCUGCAGUGGUGUUUGGAUUUGUAUAACGUCACAUAUUCAUCUUAUCAAGUUUCUAUAAUUAGUAAAUUCAUUUAGGUCUAUAUGAGGAUGACGAGUUUUGAACCUUUUGCGUUAAUUUCUUUGCACCUUUUCAGCUGGAGUUGAGUUGUGAACUUGUUUGGAAGUUUUGCAUGUAAUCUCCUUUGAGCCUAGACUGCAAUGUCUCUUAUGCUGAAAUCUUUGAAAUCAGAAUAAUGAACCGGAGUGACAACAAUGCUCUAACGCUGAAAUUUUUGAAAUCAGUAUAAUAAUGAUCCUGAAAUUGUUUAAAUGCUUCACUUUUGUUUCAACAAUCUCCAUUUAUGUUUCUCAUUCUUCGAGUUUUGAAAUCAGCAUUUAUUUGUUUGCAGCACAUUUUGUCUUUAUUUGAGGUUUCUCUUUCAGAUUGUUAACUCAACCAGUGAUGGAAUAUAGUGGGACGGCUAACAUGUCUUAUCAACAAGUUUGAGUGUUUAUCCAAAACCAUUCCAUUCAUUUCUUUUUCAUAUUUGUACAAUUUGGAAAAGGAUUGUAUCCGAGAAAGAUAAUGGAGUUUUGGAGGUGAAUUUGUUAAUUUUAAUCAGAUUGACGAACGUCUCUUGGACAGGAUUUCGUCUCUAUUUGAUAUUUUCAGAUUUGAUCACCAAACAUAUGGAUUUUCUGUUGUCAUUUGUUUUUGUGCAGUGAUAUUUGCAUAAUGUUUCAUGCUACGUCUAAUCAAUCAUGUUGUUUGGAAGUUUGUAUGACUCUUGAUAACAGGCUUUACAAGAGUUUGGGAGGAUUAGUAAUUUCAGAGGUGAUACCUAUUAUCAUAUUUGUGUCUUGUAGUGUGAACUGUUCAAGUUUAUUCAUUUGCAAGAGGGAUCAAUUCUCCACUUUUGAUGCAGAAGAUUAGAUGGCUAACAUUAUUGUCCGUUCAUUUGAUCCAGCAAGAGCCCAUUCUAGAAAUGUGGUCUUCUCUUUAAAGGCCUUUAGUAUUUUACUAUCAUAAAUAGAUAUUAUUUCUGGUUCUAUUGUUUUGACUGAGAGGAAGUCACAAGUCUUGUUGAUAUAUGAUGAUCUCUUAUCAUUUCCCCUUAAUUCUUGGUUGUUGUUUUGACAGGGUAGGGUUUGGGGAGUCUGGGUUUUUGGAUUAGGAAUUGUCCAACCACCAACAAUGUGUGUACAAGUUUGAAAUAUAUGAAUGAAGGCUGUCAAGGAAAAUGAUUACAGCAAUGAAGGCUAAAAAAAAAAUUGCGGAAGCAGAGUCUCCUAGAUCAGGAUAUAUAUAUGCUAGAGUGGAAAGAAAUAGAUGAAAUAUAUUUCUGAGAUAUCUUACAAAUGUGAUUACAGUCUCUAUUUAUAGACUGUUUUACAACCUAAUUAAAGAAAGAAAUAAUAGGUGAUGAAAGCCAGAAAUAAAUAAUGAGUGUUUAAAGCUGUACAAAUCAAAUAAAAUAAAAUCACUAACAAAUCUGUACUAAUAAAUAUAAAAUGGAAUCUGCACUUAAUUAUAACAUAAUUCUCCUGAUUAUGCAACAGUUAGUUUGAAUUUUAUUGAAUUACAUAAAUGCUUUAUUAAUAUGAUCAUUUGAUUAUAGCAGAAUUGUAGUGGUUUUUAUAAAAUUAUUCUUAGUAGUUAUAUAAUUAUUCAUGGUUGUUAUAUUACCUUUAAUAGUUAUUGUUGUUGGAAAAAUAAUCUAGAAGUCCUUUGUUGGCUAAUGAUUCUCUAACAUUUUUUUAAAAAUUUUAUAGUAGUUGUAUUUUGAUUUGACAAUUUAGUUUAGUUUCUUUUAUUGACUCUUAUAGCUAAUUAAUAUUGACUUUCAUUAGAAUGUUGAUGAUGAUGUGAAUGAUGUGUUUUAAUGUUGAUUGUGUUGUGAUUCUAUUUUAUAAAAUAUUGUUUUAUGGUAAUCAUUAAUCAAUUGCUUUGUAUACACUCAUUUAUCAUAUUGCUGUAUGACAAAUCUUAAAGCCCUCUAAGAGAAAGGUUCCUGGGUUGCUUUGUGGAAAGUUUUAAACUCGCUCGCAAUGGUAAAGGAUGGAUCAAUGUGCUUUUAUGCAAGAAUUAUUAGUAAAUUCAUUUACGUGAAUUCUUAGUAUAAUUCUCUAGUUGAUUAUGACGAGUUUUUAACCUUUUCAGCUUAUGGCUGGUUCCCUAACAUUUCUUUUGCCUAUGGAUGAUAUGAAAAGCCCAACAAUCAAGGGCUCAACAUAAAGAAAGUCUUUUUUGAGUUUCCCUUCUAUUAUUCUUUUUGCUGGUAUUGAUAACAUAAGGAUUGAACUAUGAUGUGUUUAUCUGCAAUGGUGUUUGGAUUAGUUGGGUAACAUCGCAUAGUCAUCUUAUCAAAUUUCUAUACUUUGUCUUAAUAAGAGUGUUUAUUGUUUCCUUCAAUUUUUGGACUAUCGUUUCCUUCAAUUAAAUUUGGUGUUUGUGUUCAUUCCUUUUCAGCAAGUCCUGAGUCUUUGAGAUUUCUUUUGGUGGUUGAGGAACUACAGAAUGGUUGUAGAUCAGGAUAUCCUAAUUUCUCUAUACUUGAUCACCGAACAUUGAAUAGUGAUUUGUUCUUAUGCAGUAAACAUAAGGAUUUAAUUUUGAUUAUUUUCGUAUAAUGUCCUUUAUCUCAUGGAGUAUGUUAUGUGGCAUAAUAGUUUAAUUGUAAUUUGCUUCUUUGCAGCGUGAAAUUGGCUUACCGUAUUGCAUCUUAUGGGGUAUGUUAUGAGUGACCGUGUCUCCCUUAAUUUUUUAAUUUAUCUAAUAGUCCUUUAUUACCUGUUAUAGUUUUGUUGAAUUAUUGUUCUUUAUAGGGAUGUGUGGUAAUUAGCAAGAGCUCAGGACUAUUUGGUUUCAAUUUUUUUAUAACAAAACUUUAUUUUGCCUUUAUUAGUUUCCUUCAUUGACAAAUGAAUUUUGAACUUGGUUCUUGCAAAGCAUCAAUGUCCUUGCCUAAUUUGUGUUUCAAGAUUAUUGAUCUUUCGUAUUGAAGUUCUGAAAAUUUAGGUGGAGCAGUAUUGAAAAGAUGGAUCUUGAAGUUAUUCCUUUCAUUUUAGUAGUGUAAUUAGCAAGAGCUCAGGAUUAUUUGCCUCCAUUCUUUGAUUACAGAACUUUUUAUUUUGUUUGUUCCUGCAUCGACAAAUGAAUUUUGAACUUGUUCUUGCAUAAUUUAUCAUUGGGAGGAAAUGAAUUGGUGGUUUAGGUUUGGGAAACAGUGGAUCGGGACCCUGUGGAAAUUUAGGUUUUGUUCUAUGUUUAUUAUUUCUUUGCUGUUAUUAUUCACGGAUAAACUUGUGGACUGGGAAUGUUUACCUCUAUAUGACAGGCACUGUAAACGUCUGUGUCAGCUAUUUAAUUUUCUCUUUCUUGUCCACACUCAGACAUUUCUUUCAGCAACUGAGUCAUUUAAAAGAGAGUUUCGUUUCUUUUCAUGUUCUUUAUUGUCAAAAUAACCUUUCUUUCUUUCUUAUCAGCUAUAGUAUUUAGUUUCACUGUGAUCUCGGGAUGUGUUAUUUGGAAGUGAUGUGGUUAUUCAUCCAAGGAUUAAUGUGUUAUUUGGAAGUGAUGUGGUUAUUCAUUCAAGGAUUGAGUUCCAUUCUCUUCGACUUGCUUUUGUUUGUUGUGUUCAUUGCUAUCAAACAACUUUCUUCCUUUUAAAUGUAUGGAGUCUAUUUUUUUAAGAUGAAAUCCCCACUAAAUGUAAUGUUUUUUUUUUCUUUCUUUUUCAUCAUUGCCUAGUUAUUUCUGUUUCUCAUAGGCUUGGUCUCAUCCCUUCAACUUGCAUUUGUUUGUGUUCAUUGCUAUCAAACAGCUUUCUUCUUUUUAAAUGUAUGGAGCCUUUUUUGCUACGUCUAGAUGUUGAUUUUCUUGUGUUCAUUCAUUUUUAGGUGUUGAUUUGUUCGUGUUAAUUCCUUUUUAGCAUCUCGAGACUGCCGGAAUGGUUGAGGAUUAAAAUCUGAAAUUGUUUAGAACCACCAAUAAUUCAGGAUAACCUUCAACUUUGUUUUAGGUGUCAUUUGUUUUAUGUCUCUCUUUGUUUUAAAUGUCUUAUUGUCUCUAUACUUCAACUUUAUGAGCCGUUUGUAGCCUUCCUGAAUUCUUGGGGUGUACAGGACAAACAUGCAACAGAUGUGAGGUAGGAAAGAUGUGAGUAUCCUUGAAGCUUGAAUACUGGCAGGAGAUCCUUGAAGCUUUAGGUUUUGGUAUCCACACAUAUUUUUGUCUUUAAUUGGGACUGGCUAUUUGAAUUUCUCUGGUUUUUGAAUUCCUUCAAUUCAUUAAUUCAUUUUGUCCUUUCUUAAAUUCUGGGUCUUUAUUACCAAUAUCUAUUUGAAUUUAAAUAUAGUUCUUAAAUUUUUUAUGUAUAGGUGUUGAUUCGUUUGUGUUCAUUCCUUUUUAGCAUGUAAGACUGGUUGAGGAUUAAAAUCUGCAACUGUACACGAAAAAACAAGCAACGGAUGUGAGCUAGGAUAUCUGAAUACUGGAAGGACAUGCUUGAUUCUAUAGGUUAUCCAUACUCUUUGAUGACAGAUGUCUACUUGAGUUUGGAUGUAGUUAUUUAUUUGAUGACUGAGAUCUAUCAUAUGUAACUGUUUAUCUGCUUGUGUUAGUUCCUUUUCAGCAGGGGAUUCUGGUUUAGGAUAAAAAAACAUAAAUUUGAAUAUUGUUCUUGUCCGAUUAUCAAAAUAUGUAAAACCUAGCUAUUUGAUGUUGAUUCUUUUUUAGCACAUUAAAGGUUAAUAAUAAUACAAUACUCAGGGAAGAUGUCUCCUCUUUAUUUGAAACUUUGUAGAUUGAGCAUAUUUUUCGAGACUGAUAUAUGAGGUAGGAUGUGGAAACACUGGGAUUUGUGAAGCUUUAGGUUUUGUUAUCCUUACAUUUCUUAUGUUUUUAUUUGUGACUAACUAAACUUCUUGUUUGGAUGCUAAGUUUUGGUUGGAUUCAUUGCAGACCUUGUAGUGUGUCUGACAGUUCUUAUUGGUGUAUAUGUAGCAAUCACUAGCAGACUAUUAGAGGUCCUGUAAUUUGGGGAGGAUUUGUCUGACAGAAUUUCUAACAACUUAAUAUGAAGUACUGAAUUAAUAGUGAAAAAAAAGAUAAAGAAAAAAUAUCAUGGCCAUUAAAAGUUUAUGUUUCUUGUCCUGUUCAGCCAUGGCACUUGUCAGUGAGCUCUUGCUUCUUUCUCUAUUGCCCCAUAUGCAUACUUUUUCGCAUUUCUUACUCUUUUUUUAAGUUGUUCAUUUUUAAGUAAUUUAGGCUUCUCAUACUGGUUUCAUAGUGAAAUUUGAGCCUUUUACAUGGUGCCAUUGAAAUUAAGGAGGGAAUUAAUGAUCUUUAGUUUUAUAGUACUGAAUUAAUUUGGAUUUGCUUAGGUGUAGCAAAUUUGAAAGGUCAUUUUCUUAGUUAUUACUUCAUUUACUAAAUUAUCAAGAGCAUUGAACAAUUUGAUUUUGUAGUGUUUUGUUUGCUGCCUUGACAAAUGAAUCUUGCAUUCUAUUGUUUUUAGUAAUUUUGGGUUACAUUCUGAAUAUGACAUAUGAUGAUCUCUUAUAUCUUCCAAAAUGAGAAUGAUCUCCAACAUUAGAGCUGUAUUUAGUUCUAUCUCCAAUGUGAGAAUGAGAAAAUUGAGAGCUGUAUUUAGUUUUAUCUCCAAUUAUCUCUAAUAUUAGAAUGAGAAACAACAGUAGUUGAAAUGUUUUCUUGUAAUCUAUCUUCGUGUGCUAUGAUUCAGUUCUCUCUCCAUAUAUGAGAAUAAAAAAUGAGAAAGAGAAACAACAUUAUUUGGAAUGUUUUGUCGUAAUCUUCUUGCACUAUGAUUUUGUUCUCUCCCAAUAUGCGAAUGAGAAAAUGAAAAACAACAGUAUUUAGAAAGUUUUGUCGUAAUCUUGCGCUAUGAUUUGGUUCUCUCCUCAAUAUGCAAUGAGAAGAUGAGAAACAACAUUCCUUAACUUGUAAUUGAUUUUAUAUUAAUUGUUUAACUAUUCACUUCAUGUUUUUCUAAUUUGAAGAUAUCUCUUUACUAAAAACAAUGUAAUUAAUUUUAUAUUAAUUGUUUAGCUAUUCA